GCGAUGUAGCUGUGUAGCCUUUUAGCAUAAGCUUAAAGCUUUCCCGAUGUUGUUUUAUUCUCCUUUGACUAUGCACAUAUGCUUUCUCUAACAAUUUACCUUUGUUCUGGAGCCACUGUCUCCGAGAAAGGCUAACAGUUAGUUAAUCCAGGGGCAUAUGUAACUAUCUGUACCUUAUCUUGUGUCUUCACUGAUGCAACCGGACUGUCGGUGUAUCUCGUAUGAUGUUCUCGUUCUGCUACUUUGCUGCCUUUUCUUCGGAUGCAGCUUAAUUCCUUUAAUUUCUACUCUCUUUUUUUGCGGGAAACUGUCGAUCUAUUCAUCUUCAAACAUGGCAGUACAACGAACACCAGAAAUAAAAAAAUUUACAUCCAGAUUCAUAGACCACCUAGCGACGAUUACAAGCACUGAAGUGAGCUGAAGGCGCGCCGCCGUCAUCGCCGCUCUCUCGCCGGAGCCGGGCACAACUUGUUGUAGUAGACAGUCGGGAAGUCGUUGUGCUAAGGUCCAUAGGACCAACGCCUCAGAACAGUAACCGCCGUCGAUGAAAGAUAAUUUUAGAUCGGAAGGAUUCAACCUGAAGAUACAUGAACAAAGAAGAACAAAGACCGGAUCCGAGCUGAUUCACCAAAGGCAACCACCAAUCAAAUCUCGCGAGAUCCGUCGGAGACACUUUCACACGUCGAAACUGCUAGAUACACCAUUGGGACGGGGGCUAGGUGGGGAAAAUCUUAUUCCAUCUUCAAUAAGCCGCCACCGUCUCGUCUCUUGAGCAGGACAUAAACCCUUACAAAACUUGAAGAAGCACCUAAAAACGGAGCCCUCCCACCGGCAAGGGAUGGGAUCCACCGCGCGCCAUCCAUGGCCUUAGGGCCACAGGAGACGUGAGAGAUUGGGGUCUAUCUCACCUGAAAAGUGAAUAAUCUUAUUGCAUUCUCGACCGUAGUAUAUAUCCAUCGAACUAAAGUUGGUGUCAGUCAGGAUGCGCAAAGCACUGAUCAUUGGGUAGGGUUUACUGGGUUGUUUGAUUUGUCAUAUGGGCAUCUACAACCGGACCCACCACUUCCCUUCUGGCGUGAGUUAAAAAUGCCGGGAAAUCGGACCAACCAAACCCAUCCCAAAUGUUUGGGCUGUCCGGCAUCCUUCAUAUGCAACAUCAAACUUAUCUUAAAUGUUUGGGUUGUCCGACACACUUCAUAUGCAACAUCUCAAAUGUUUGGGCUGUCCGACACCCUUCAUAUGCAAACACCAAACCCAUCCUAAAUGUUUGGAUUGUCCGGCACACUUCAUAUGCAAUUCAUAUGUGAGGUGAAUAUGAGGUGGUCAAAACCUCGGCUCUUCUGGCCGCACCAGCCCACCCCAAGGGCUUUGCCCAAUAAGCAGCAGCAGCAACACGGGAGGAAAAGGGCGUGUUGUCGAGGGGCGGCCGGGGAGGAGCAGGUUGAGGCCAUACCACCAUGUCGGGCCGGCCGGAGGACACAACAGUAGAAGGAAGGAAGACUCGAACUAGGUUGAGGCCAUGCCACCAUGUCGAGCAGGACGGAGGACACAACAUCGGAGGGAGGAAGACCCGAACUUCGCUAGAUCGGAUCCGCGGUGGAGGGGGAGGGGGUGCCACAGUGCACCAGGGUCGGAGCUGCAUGCCGCCAUCAUCCUGGAGCGCCGUGCUAUCGCUGACAAGCCCUUCAAGGGCGGCGAUGCGGAGGGAGAAGGAAGCUAGCGACGGUGGCUACGGUUCCCUCGUGUCGCGAGACGCAGGCGUUGCGGGGGAUGAGUUUCACCAACCAAAUCAUACAUGUUGCGGGGGAUUAGUUUCACCAAAUGAUACACACACAAGAAUGGAAAAAAUCAUGAAAAAUUAAACUAUUAUACAAUAAUUACUUUAUGUGACGAGGAUAUGGAGAGAUCGUAGAAAGGCAUGGGAUAGUUAUUUUUGUAUGAGACUUGUUGUAAAUUCGUUAACUUAAGAAAGAAAAACAUAUAUACAUAACAGAAAAAAUUAAUAAGAUGAGAUUCGACCUCCCCUUACAUAUUUAAUUUCUUCUCCUAUACAAAAGUUAGCAAGACCCACUCAAUUGCUAAUUUCAUCAAUAACACCCUUAUAAAUAAACUAUGUUAGUUCGGUUAAUCCUCUUAUACCGAGGAUAAAGACCCUAUUAUACGAAAUGGUAUUUUUUUUAACUUUCCUUUUUGUUCAUAUGGUUUGUAAUGAAGUAAAUCGUGUGUGUGUUUUCCAUUCGAUUUGUAGGUUGACUGUGACCAGAUUAAGCAUGGCGACUUAAGAAAUUGUUUGCUAUUUACUUCUAUGGCAAUUUCCUAUCCUGGCUAUUUUGCCAUGUGAAUUAACAUGUUGUAUGGUGGUGGCAAGACAAUUUUUUGGAAUAAAAAUUCUUAUAACAUGGAAAAUUUACAUUUUUUUAGUUCAUUCACAUGACAAUUUUUUUGAAAAUUUAUCCUAAAUCAUGGCAAAUUUAGAUAAUUGUUUAUGAUGGUCACACAUGAAAUGUAGGGUUUUGUUGUUCUAUACAACAAUCCAUGUUUUUGAAUUUAGUAAUUACCAGACAAUAAAUUCCCAACACUUUUGUACUACAUUUGCAUGGUAAAAAAUAUUAGGACAUUGUUUCUGUCCCAAAUGAUGAUUUUUUUAAUAUAUUGUUAUCAUUUUCACAUGAAAAAUGUAGGUAUUCUGUUUCUGAGUUGGACCAUGGCAAGAAAAAUGUAUUUAUCAUGGCAUUUUUAUUGUAAUUUUCCCUUUUACCAUGUAUUUGUAGAUACAAUGGCAUAUUAUUUUCUUGAACAUAUUUUUUUCGCCAUGACCCUUGUCAAAAAAUAAUCCACUCAUCUAUGAUUUUCCUACCUUUCACCAUUAUAUAGACAUGAAAAAUUAUGACAAAUUUCAUUUGUCCGAGUUUGAACGAGCCAAUGUGAACUUUGAUGACACAUGGCAAUUUUGGUUUCCUUUGCCAUGUCCAUGUCCAAAGGUAGGAAAACAAGAUUUUGCCAAGUCUCAUCUACAUUUUUGACGAUCCAUGGUGAUUUGGUUUCAUGGCGCAUGGCAAUUUGGUUUCAUGACACGUGGUAAUUUUGGACAUGUCCAUGUCCAAAAUGAAACUAAUUUUGCCAUGUCUCAUCUAAAUUUUAUCCUACAUUUUCCAUGGCAAGCAAGAUCCUUUGUAAUACCUUUUCAUAAUUUAAAUUCAUGUUCGGCCAUGCCGAUUAAAUAUACCUCAAUUAUUCAUUUCCUUUUUUGAUGAUGGCAUAAUAACAUGUGUUCCCAUGGCAAAUUUGAAAUAUUUUUUAAUAUUUAUUUUGGUAAUUUUGGCAUGUCUUAUUUACAUUUUUUCCAAUGUUUUCCAUGGCUAUCAACAUCUUUUUGUUGUCUUUAGCAAUUAAGUUCUCAAUUUCGCCAUGGCAACUAAAUAUCCUUAACUUUUGUGUUCCUAUGGCAAUUUUUGAAAUGUUUGUUGGAAAACAAAUUGCUAUUUUUUCAUGCCUCAUCUACAACUUUUUUGACUACAUUUGCCAUGGCAAAAGAAGAUCUUUUUAUUGCCUUGGCAAUAAAAUUUAUUAUUUCCCAUACCAACUAAAUAUACUCCAAUUGGAGUUUUUGUUGCACAAUUUUUGUAGCAUGGCAGAUUUUGGUUUGCCAACAUACCAUGGCAAAUUAGAUUUUUUGGAUAAAUUAUUUUGUGUAUGCCAUGAAAAAUUUGUUUUUACAUGACUAUUUCAAAACUUUUUAUUUUACUUUUAUACCAUCUUCUCUUAUUGAAAUGAUCGAUAUAGUUGACUAGAGGGGAAGGGGGGGUGAAUAGGUAACUACCAUUUUUAUCCUUUUUUAACAAAUUAGGGUUAGCAACAAAUAGGUUGUCUAGAUAUGCAACUAGGUGAGCAACCUAUAUGAUGCUAACAACAACAAGCAAGGGAUACAACACAAAUAAAGUUUGCACAAAGUAAAGGUAAGAGAUAACCACAGGUGGAACCAGAGGAGACGAGGAUGAGUUACCGAAGUUCCUUCCCUUUGAGAGGAAGUACGUCUCCGUUGGAGCGGUGUGGAGGCACAAUGCUCCCCUAGAAGUCAAUAGGGCCACCGUAUUCUCCUCACGUCCUAACACAAUGUGAGAUGCCGUGAUUCUACUAGUGGUGCCCUUGAAGGCGGCAACCGGAUCUUUACAAAGAAGGUUGGGGCUCUCUCUCCACAACCAAAUUGGAGGCUCCCAACAACACCACAAAGCUUCAUCAUAAUGGAAUGUGGCUCUGAGGUAACCUCAAUCGUCUAGGGUGCUCAAACACCCAAGAGUAACAAGAUCCGCAAGGGAUUAGUGGGGGGAAUCAAAUUUCUCUUGGUGGAAGUGUAGAUCUAGGCCUUCUGUUGUAGCGUGGAACCCUAUGGAGAGAUCUUUCACGAAUUGGAGGGGGAAUCCCCAAGAACAAGAUGAACACAAGGAGGGAAAACAAGAGGAACACUCAAGAACAAGUCCAAUCACACAUCCACUAGACCAACAAACACACAAGAUCCACAAGGUACAUGAACAAUCAAAGGGGAACAAGAUACAUGGUAGAGUUCAUCCCAAAUCCUAUGAAGGAGAUGAGGGCUUGAUGAUCUAGGUAGAUCCUUCCCCCAAAGGGGGGUUUGCAUCCCUAGGGAUCUUCUCUAAUGGAGGUCUUGUACUCCAAUGGAGUCUUCUCUCAAAAGAGGAAUCCCACAAGGGGAGGUACAUGAGCUAAGCUCUAUGAUUUGUGUCUAUUCUUAGCUAACCCUAAAAUGGAGGAGAAGGAGGGAUAUAUAUAGGUCCAAGGCAAGGAAGGGGUAAGUGAGGGCGAAAGGGUAAAGUUACAUGGGCCUUGCCCAAAUUCGGCCCGCAGAUGCACUACCGGACAGUCCGGUACGGGGGACCGGACAGUCCGGUGGAAACAGGACUUUUGGGCGUUCAGAAAUUGUACUACCGGACAGUCCGCUUGGGGGACCGGACUGUCCGGUAGUGCAAUUUCUGCACAGACCAAAACUGCCCUCUGGAUGGACCGGACAGUCCGGUUGGGCGACCGGACAGUCCGGUAGUGCAAAUUUUGCACCGUCUUCUUCGGUCGUCGCUUCCAAGCUUCCCUCGCGGACGGUGUAGGCGUACACUUGCGCUUGCACUCCUCCUCAUCAUCCGUGGUGCUCCGAUGAUACCUAUGAAUGCACACAAGAGGAGUGUCAAGUAGUAUACCAUCCUCGAUGGAGUCAAGUGAACACGUGAAAAGGAGAUGAUUCACCUUUGUGUAUGUGAAGUGGAUGUCGCACGUGUCACUCGCCAAACGGACUCUUGACAUGGUGAUGUCUGUAGGAUGCUCCGCAUCAUCCCCUCCCCCUUGGGAAAGAUCCGACCUCGGAUCGAAAACCAAAUCACCAUGGGAAAGAGAUGACAUCGUCGUGUAGAAGUGGACGUUCACCAAGUAGUCAUCAUCUUGAAACUCAUAGUGGUCACUCUCCAAUGUCGCACCAUCGUGUGGUUCCUUCAAAAGGAGUAAGGACAACAAACACUUGGAAAAAUAAAUGUGGUUAGCUUUAGUGCAAAACCAAGCAUUCAAGUGGUGAUUCACCGAACAAGUGUUGUCAUCAUGCAUAGCAUAAGGCGUGACAAAGGAUUGUGACAUGGCAUGUAAGAAUAUGAAUUGAGCACAAUCAAGGUCAUCAUGGAAACAAGCAUGUAAAUGUGAGGUAGUGAUGCAAAUAUUUGGGACAAGAGAAUAAGCAUCUAGCUCAUGGUCAUAGCAAUCAUGCAUAAAGCGCUCGACAAAUGGUCGAUGGUAGGCAUAAGAAUCAUUCACAACACCAACAUAAAUGAAGUGUCUAAACACAUGGGUCAAGUGCAAGACAAUCCAAGCAUAACGUGCAUAGGGUAUAGUGAAUAUAGUGUGGCACUCAACACAAUAGAAAGAGCAAUUGUUCAUCAUGUGUGAGGCAAUCAAGUCAAGCAUGUGACAAGCAAUGGGACAUGGCAUAUGUGAAGAAAUGAUAUUGGUGCAACCAACCAUAUGAUAGGAGCAAGUAGUCCAAGAAUUGGAUGCAACACACAAGGUAUAUAUAUCAUGAAGCAUGGAAAUGUGGUAAUCAUGGGUGAAAGCAAUAUCUCGAACAUGCGUGCAAAUGGUGCAAGCAACACAUGAAGUAUGAUCCACAAUAUCCAAGCUCAAGAAGGAUGUCACCUUGAAAGCGUGUCCUUGUGCGUCCUUCACAAUGCCGAAGCACAAGCAAGUGCGAUGUAGAAUCGUCGUGGUACAAGGUGGUUCGCUCUCAAGAGCUCGAAUGGUCAAUUCACGUGAUGUGGAAGUCGAAACAAUGUCCAAGUAUCCUACACAUGCACAAAACAAAAAAAAGAAAGUAUGCGCAUGGUAGAUAAACACAUCAUCCAUCAUGAUGGUUCUCUUCUUUUGCACAUAACCAUUAAAGCACAAGUGCACGAAUAAUAUGAUGCAACAAUGGCAAUAUUCAUGGCACUAGGUAUAUGGUGCAAAGAGGUAAGGCAAGCAUGCUUCACAAGAAGUAUGUCAAAGUCUCCAAUUAUAUGUGAGAAUGCUAUGGGGGCAAUCUCAUGAGGAAGACUAAAAGCAUUGUUGCACUCAAUACAUGGGAACCCAUCUAGCAUGAGAGAGGCAACAUAUGGAGAUAUAUGGCAAGAAGCAAUGACAAUCAUGUGCAAAGCAUGUAGAUGGUUGUCAUCAACCGCAUGAAAUGAGCAAGUAUGAAUCAUCGGUGAUGCAACAUAAGCAAGCAUAGUAAUCAAGUCGUGCAAACUAGUGGAGCGAAGAUGCAACACACUAGAGGAAAUCAUGGCAAUCAUGUCAUGUGAGCAAUUAAUGGGCAUAGGCAAUGCACAUGACAUAUCGCAAGCACGAUCACAAAUCAAGAUCAAAGCAUAAUCAUAAGCAUUGGGCACAAAGUAAACAUGGCAAAUACAAAUACGAGUACUAGAAUUAAUCAUCAUGUGUAAUGCAAAGCAUGGGUCACAAAUGCAUGGCAAAGGCGUAGGAAUAAGCAUAUCAUGCAAAGUGAACAUCGCGAGAUGGGCAUAUAAUAUGUAAUGGACAAUAACCCAUAACCAAGUGAGGGACAUGUAGAAGAAAUGCGCGAGGUCUUUGCGCGAUGAGAGCGGUGGGAAAGACAAUCCAUAGGAUCCCAAAUCGUCGUUGCUCUCUAGAGCUCGUUUUGUCAACUCAUGGGAUUGUGAGGUUGACAAGUAAGCAUGGGUACCUACACAACAAAUACACAAGCGAAAGAAAUUGUGUGUGUGGUAAAUGUACACAUCAUCCAUCAUGAUGUGUAUGUGCACGUGAGAGUUAGCACAAGAUAAGCAUCGCUCAAAGAAAUUUGAUGCGUGGUAUAAGAACAUGUCAUCCAUCAUGAAAGAAUAGUUAUUAUGUAUGACACGAUGGGGUGCAAAUUUAGCAUACAAGUAUAUGGCACAUCAAUAGCAUGUUUAUUCAUGGGGAGCAUAUUGUGCAUACAAGUGUUGGGAUCAUGCAAUGCAUGGGAUGAAUCAAAAUCUCCUAAAAUGUAUGAGGAAACUAUGGGGGUCUCCUCAUGAGCAAUAUUGGAAACAUCAUAUGGAGAAAAUGGACAACAUCCAAAAUAAUGCAUAUCCGAAGCUAGGUUGUCAUGGCAUGGCAUAUGAGGUAAAUGAUGCAAAGGGAGCAUAUCAAUAUCAUCACAAGAAAAACAAAUGCCAAUAACCAUGGGCUUGUCAUCUAUGCCAUAUGUGCAAAUUGGGUUUAUUUUAAUGGCAUAUGCAUAGUCACUAUGAAGAGAUUGCAAAUAAGACAUAUGGUUGAUCUCAUGCAUAGCAUAUGACAAGUCAAGCGGAUUAUCAAACAUGAUGUGACCAAGGGAAUUGUCACAAGAAAUCCUAUGUAACAUGGCAUCACAACUAGGCAACUCAACAUGCUCACCAUCAUAUUCAUCAUAAAUUGGUAAGUCAAGACAUGAGGAAGUCGCACUAGCAUGAAGCAUGGAAAUUGGUUAAGCAACAUCAUGCAAGCAAUCAAUGCCAAGAAUGUCCACUAGUGGGACUAGAGCAUCACCUUCACCUAUGUUACCAUUCUCAUUCCACUCAAGUGGUGUAGGUGAGGUGGGAAAGACCAAAUGGUGGUCAUCUUCAUCUUGAUGGAACCAUGUGGGGGGUGCAUCAUAUUCCACCAUGGCCAUCGUCAUGUCCGUAGGAAGGACGAAGUUGUCGCGGAUCGACGCGUCAUCAUAUAUGGGACCUAGCACCAAAUGAGAAGACAGAAUAGAGGUAGAGGUCAAGUUGUUAGAAAUGAAAAUGGCCUCACAUGCCCUAUCAACUAUCACACUCUCUCUAUGUGGUGGCUCACUCACUCCCUCCAAAUAGGUGCACUCAAACUCACAUAUGGUGGAGUCACUCAUCUCACUCAAGUGGUGGGGGUUGUGACUCUCCUCACAUGGGAAAUGUGGCAACUCAGCAUAUAUGGGGCUAGUGGUGAAGUCACUCUCACUCUCAAUAUGGUGGCAAAAGUCACUCAAGUCAUCAUACGUCCCCGUGGUCGAAGGGAAAAUCCCAUGCUCAACCAUCUCAUCGUCGUCGCCGUGGAUGAAGGCCGAAGAUGGCACAUCAUCGCUCUCCUCUAUGACCGAAUGGAAAAUACCAUGCUCGAUCAUCUCGUCAUCGUCGCCGUGGAUGAAGGCCGAAGAUGGCACGUCAUCCCUCUCGCCUCCAAAGAUGGAAGCAUCAUCCUUGAUCGCCACCUUGUCGCUCGCGUCCAAAGCUUGGUCCUUGAAGGUCUCCGUAGUCGUAGUCGUCGCCGCACCGUCUUGAAAAAGAGUCGAGGAAGACUCGGCAUCAUCAAUGCCACAAAGAGGGAUGGCGGUGGAGUCGAACUUGGGAGCAUCGUCUUGGAGCUCGUCAGGCUUGGACAUCUUGAUGGUGCUAUCCUCAUGCUCGUUCUCAUGGAGCUUGGUCGUCGCGAAGUGAGCUUGGGGUGGAGAAGCCUUGGCCUUCAUGAGUUCUUGUUCCGCCUUGAGAGCACCAAUGUAGUUGUCGUCGAGGGACUUGUAGUUCUCGAGGAAGAUCGUCUUGGAGAUGUCAUUGUGCAAUCCCAUCAUGAAGUGGAACUUCAUUGACAUGGGGUCGUCCACGCCGGCUCGUCGCAGGGCAAUCUUCAUCUCCUUGAAGUACGCGUCGAUGGACUUGGAUCCUUGGGUGGUGUUCUCCAAUUGGCGUAGAAGUUGUUCCGUGUAGGUUAGAGGCACGAACUCUCGCCUCAAAGCUCUCUUCGUCUUGGGCCAACUCAUGUUGUAGCUCUCUGAAGGUGUGUGAAGCCACCAUGUCGAGGCGUAGUCAUGGAGGUUUCUUCAGGCGCACUUCACUUGAUCUUCGGGAGGAACUUGAUGUAGCUUGAGGUAGUCGUCCAUUAGGCACUCCCACUCGAGAUACUCCUCGGGUUCUUGAGUCCCAUAGAAAGGAAUUGCGUGGCCGAUGUCGAGGUCGUAGUAGCUCAUGGAAGUCGCAGACUUGAGCUUGGGGAGCUUAUCUUGAGUGUAGUCUUGAGGUGCUUGUUGGCGAAGAUGCCGCAUGUCCAAAGGCGAAGAUUCCUUGAAGUCGCUUGGCAAAGAUGCCAAGGUAGAUGGUGAAGUCGUUGAGCGGUUGUUGGUGUUGAGCUCUUGACCUUCACGUACUUGUCGUUGAUGGUGUCGAUGCCGAUGUGACCUUGCCGGAGAUGGUGGCUCGGAAGCAUGUGCACUUGAGCGUCUUCUCGAAGAUAAGGAAGACCUCUUGUAGGACUUGAUGAGGGUUUUGAUCUCCUCCAUUUGAGCUUGCAUCUUGGCGUCAAUGAAGUUUUUCAUGGCAUCGAACUCGUCGUUGUUGUUGUAGACCGAAGGAGGUGUGCUUUGCCUAUCCAUCACAAGACUCGAGCAAAGGGUGAGUAGGAAAUGAGAUAAACAAUACCAAGCUACCUUUUCCCAAAGUUGAGGAUGUAUCCAGUUUCACUCAAUGUGAAAUGAAAGAAUAGUGGAAUUGGUACCGGACUUGCUCACUCACACCUACAAAGUAAAGCUUAUCGAGUGGCUUGGUUAGGACAAGUGGCACAAAAUUUUGAUGCAAAAUGUUAGCAAGAGUCAAUAAUGUUGAAAGAGAUACACAAAUUCGCAAGUGAAACAAGUAGACCAAUAGCAAUGAAAGGCACAUGGAAACGCACGCACGGAUAGAUAAAUGGGGUCGUGCAACCAAGGAGUGAGCACAAAAUGUGGAAUCCACGAAAAACGCUCGUGUUGCACAACUCAAGAGAGACGCUAGCACGAUUGCUCAAUAGGCGGAUACGACACUUGUGCACAACCUAUAAGAUGCAAAAUGGAUAAACUUUCUAUCCCAAGUAUGCUAUUAUGUAUGGUUCCCGGUGUUUAGCACAUGAUGAUCCAAGAUGAUCAAUAUGGUAGUAUGAUAUGCAAUGUGGUGAUGCUAUGGCUCUUGUUUACAAGCUUCUUUGCUCUUUCUCUUUGCUUAAAAGCUUAUUCUGUUUUUUUGUAUGGCCACUAUGCGAAAUGCACAAACCAAGAUAGCAAUUGUGUAUAUGCGGGAACAAUCUUGUGACACAAGAGAUGAUAUGAUGAUACCAAGAUGAUAUGAUAUGUAUGCAAUGGGAGGUACGGAUCACUAAUGUGCACAAGUAACGUUGCCGGCAAUACUCAAAUGGCUAGUCUCGAUAGGCAAGUGACGCAAAAUGGGCUAGGGGUUAAACAAUGCAAUGGCAAGGAGAAUGUAUAAUGAUGUGGUCGAGGUUACCGUCCUUGCUUACGGUAGGGGUGUCAAAAUGAUGAAGUGGUCAAUGUCGAUGACGACCUCGUGGCGAUGAUGAGUGGCAGUGUUCUCAAUGUAGAACCAUUCCUAAUUAUCCGAAACACCUUAGGAAACGGAAAAACCGCAAACUCAAAAUCUCAAAGGAAAAUGUCAAAUGGUGGUAGCGAAAUGCGUUGGUGGUUCCGGAGUUGACAAUGCGGAAGUGGUGGUGGUGGUUGAUGAAGAAGCAACCGUCCCUAAGUAGCCUAAACACCUUAGGAGACUCAAGUCACCACUCAAGCAACCACAAAUGCUAUAUGGAUCAAAAUGGGUUAGGUUGCGGAAAGCUAUGGUGGUUUUAUGGAUGAUAUGGUGGAGGGCCUAGGCAAAGGUGUCAAAAUGUCAAAAAUUUGAUGGAUUCAAUUGAUUUUGGAACACAUCUAGAUGGAUGGGGUAUGUCAAUAGCUACUCAACGAGCUAAAGAACGUCAAAAUCGGACUCCGGAUGUGGAAGAUAUGGCCAAAACAAGAAAUCAGCCGAAGCAGUUUUUGAACUAGCGGACAGUCCGGUCCGGGGUAGCGGACAGUCCGGUCUUCAUCCGAAAACCUUCUGAUUCGAGCGGACAGUCCGGUGUUGGGAGCGGACAGUCCGGUCUAUGAGCGAUUUUGGUCCUGACGCCAGCGGACAGUCCGGUACGGGGGUGCGGACAGUCCGGUGCGGGUCGGGAAGGCACGAAAUUGAAUUUUUUGGGUGGGAAUGGAUGAUUUUGGGGUCAAAAUUGAGGGGAUUUCGUGGAUGGAAGGUGGGGAAACUUGUGGGGAAGCUAGAUCCACUCAAAACACAACGAAUCCAUGGAUCAAAAUCAACAAAACAUCAUCAAACCAACAAAUGACAAAAAAAAUUGGGGCUAUUUUUGGUGGGGAUUUUUGGAUUUUAGGACGAAAUCAAGCAAAUCAAGGCUAGAAAAUGGUGGGGGAGACUCCAAAUUCAUGAUCAACGUGGCUCAUGAUACCAAGAUGUUGUAGGGUGGAACCCUAUGGAGAGAUCUUUCAUGAAUUGGAGGGGGAAUCCCCAAGAACAAUAUGAACACAAGGAGGGAAAACAAGAGGAACACUCAAGAACAUGUCCAAUCACACAUCCACUAGACCAACAAACACACAAGAUCCACAAGGUACAUGAACAAUAAAAGGGGAACAAGAUACAUGGUAGAGUUCAUCCCAAAUCCUAUGAAGGAGAUGAGGGCUUGAUUAUCUAGGUAGAUCCUCCCCCCAAAGGGGAGCUUGCAUCCCUAGGGAUCUUCUCCAAUGGAGGUCUUGUACUCCAAUGGAGUCUUCUCUCUCAAGAGGAAUCCCACAAGGGGAGGUAUAUGAGCUAAGCUCUAUGAUUUGUGUCUAUUCUUAGCUAACCCUAAAAUGGAGGAGAAGGAGGGAUACAUAUAGGUCCAAGGCAAGGAAGGGGUAAGUGAGGGCGAAAGGGUAAAGUUACAUGGGCCUUGCCCAAAUUCGGCCCGCAGAUGCACUACCGGACAGUCCGGUACGGGGGACCGGAAAGUCCGGUGGAAACAUGACUUUUGGGCGUCCAGAAAUUGUACUACCAGACAGUCCGCUUGGGGGACCGGACUGUCCGGUAGUGCAAUUUCUGCACAGACCAAAACUGCUCUCUGGAUGGACCGGCCAGUCCGGUUGGGCGACCGGACAGUCCGGUAGAGCUAAUUUUGCACCGUCUUCUUCCGUUGUCGCUUCCAAGCUUCCCUCGCGGACGGUGUAGGUGUACACUUGCGCUUGCACUCCUCCUCGUCAUCCGUGGUGCUCCGAUGAUACCUAUGAAUGCACACAAGAGGAGUGUCAAGUAGUAUACCAUCCUCGAUGGAGUCAAGUGAACACGUGAAAAGGAGAUGAUUCACCUUUGUGUAUGUGAAGUGGAUGUCGCACGUGUCACUCACCAAACGGACUCUUGACAUGGUGAUGUCUGUAGGAUGCUCCACAUCACCUUCUCAACUAAUCCCUAAAGAAUCAACAAGUUGGAUUGGCUAGGGAGAGAGAUCGGGCGGAAAUGAGCUUGUGAGCAACAAUGGAGCUCGGGGAGGAAGAGGUUAGUCAACUUGGAGAAGAUGACUCCCUUAUAUAGUGGGGGAUGAAAUUCAACCGUUAUGCACCCAUAGCCCGUGCACAAGCGGUAGUACCUCUCAGGUGAGCAGUACUUCCGCUGGCACGGAAGUUCUGACUGUUGCACACAACUGAGCAAGUCAAGGGGGCGGUAGUUCCGCCGGAGCGGUACUACUGCUCCCACCAGCAGUACUUCCGCUUGGUGUUGGGCAACAGCUGGGCCCGCGGUAGUAGAGGGAGGCAGGGCGGUAGUGCCGCCUAGGGCGGUACUUCCGCUCUACUUCCACUCGCGGGGCAGACCAGUCUAGAACGUAGCAAACAAGCGGUACUCCAAGCGACAGAGGCCAGCGGUAGUUCCGCUGGAGCGGUACUACCGCGCCGAGGAGCGAUACUUCCGCUUAGCCUGUCAAUGCCCAGUAAACCUGUGGUAGUAGGGUAGUAGUUAGGCCCACGGUACAACUGGAGCGGUACUACUGCACCGAACUGCCGCUCUACUAUAGCCCAUUUACAGAACGCACAAAACAGGCGGAAGUAGGAACUGCACUACUCUGCGGCAGUACUGCUGGAGCGGUACUACCUCUUAAGCUGUUCUGAAAAGAUCCAAGCAAGAUAGGAAGGACAAGCUCAAGAGCUUGGAAGGAAAGAGGGUGCAAGGAGACAGUGUACGUGAUGAUUCCACCCAAACCUUUCUAAAGUGGACCCCCUCUAUACGGUGAUCCUACGACUCAAGUCCAUCGAAAAUGAAAUGCAAGAAAAACACCAUCUUCGCGAUAGCUCCGAGGGGUUCCUGUCGUCUUGUGUCAAAUGAUGGUUUAUCUGAAAUGCUCGAUGCACACGAUUAGUCCGCAAAUGCAUUGUCAUCAAUCACCAAACCAUUAAGGGAGAAAUAUGCCCUAACAAUCUCCCCCUUUUUGGUGGAUUAAUGACAACACGGGAUUUGCACAAGAAUAAGAUCAGAAAAUAUGGAACCCCAACAUCUACAAAAUAUAAAAAGGCCCCCCCUAGAUGUGAGCACUAUUUGGGUAUGUCUUUGGAAUGCAAAGCACACACACUAGGAUCAACACUCCCCCUAUAUUUUAUAGACCGACACUACUUGCAUCAACAAUAUGAGAUGGAUAAGCAAGGAUGCAAGUAAAUAGCAUAUGAGCAUAAAGAUAGGGCACAAGAUAAACAACAUCUCACAAGCUAAUACGGUACUUGACAUAAAGAGAAAGAUAAGGUAGCAUAUGUCUCACACCAUAUGAUAGAUACUUAAGGUUCCACACAUGAACUUAAAGCAAACCAAACGAAAAAGAGUUCACGAGAGAACGAAAGCAACACCAAAGAAGACACACUUGUGACUUGGCAAAUCCCUAAACUCUCUCUCCCCCUUUGGCAUCGAGACACCAAAAAGGCACAGAGCACUAGACACGUCCAGGGUGAUGGUGAUGCUUCGGAUCGUCAAUACUCCUCGUACUCAUCUGAGACCUCAUGAUCCUCCGACUCCUCUGCUGCUGCUGCUGCUGCCUAACACUCUGCCUCUGAGUUUGACCACUUGCAAUGCUGCGAGAUCCAGUUCUCCUCAUCCGUGACCCGCUCCUCAGAGGCACUAGUGAUUUGCUGAUCCAGGGCCCUCAUCAUGUUCUUAUGGCGAGUGUGAGCAGCCUUCUUAGCCACAUGAGCCCUGUACUAACCCUUGUCCUCCAUGCAGAAAAGCCUCUUCAUCAUCGACUUGAGCUUAGAUGCCCAAGAUGGCACCUUCACCGGAGAAUAAACAAACUCAUAACCGGGCUCCGGCUCAUCAUCAGAGUCAGUGGGAGCAAUCUCCUCACCGGGGGUAGAAGGCACAGUCCCCCAGUUGUCUUUUUGGCGCAGGUUCAAGACUGGAUGAGAUACCAUAUGCUCAAAAGGAAGAGCCUCCCCUGGAAACUCAGCAACCCACUUCUCAUCAAUCACCUUAAACAGAUACGGGCCAUAGAUGGGCACCUUCCGGUCAAGCACAGCAGAACGGAGCUCACGCCGCAUGAUGUGGGAGAUGUCCAAAGUAGAUGUCCUGCCCUUCUCCUUGAUGCACAUUAAGAGAAGAUCCACUAAGUAAGAGUGCACCUGAUCCAGAUUCCCAAUGCGAGGAAAGAGAGUGUUGCGGAAGAUAUGGUGCAUGAUGUCCAAAAACAGAAUGAGCUCCGUGCGAGUCCCCUUGAGAGUCUUCACCGUCCUAGAGUAACGAAUAAGCUUUGACUUGUGCGUGGGAGGUGAGUGCUUGUGUGACCGGAGACCAACUAGGUUGUCUUCUCCCUCAUCAACAAUGCCCAAACAAUCCAUGAAGUCCUUCCAAUCAACCUUGAAUCUCCACCCACAGGUCAUCCAUGUCAUAGAUCUCUCCUCAUUUGCAUGAAAGUGAACCGUGGCAUAGAAUUGAGCCACAAUCUCUGGAUCAUAUAUAGUCCUUGUUGUAUGAGAUGAAGGUAAUGAGUCCCCACUAUUGACAAAGAGCCAGAGCCUCUCCAAAGUACGCCAGGUCCUUCUCCAUCCGAGAGACAUUAGUAGACUUGACGGACACAAACAAGUUCUUCUUGGCCUUCAGAAUGUCAAGGUAGAUCAACGAUUGCUCCUUGGUCCAGAAGGGACAACCAACAAGAGCCUCAUCUCGAGGACGGCGAUAUGGAUAGCGAAUGCGGAACACCUCAAACUCCUUUGCAGUCAUCUCACCAGGAGGGGUGUACUUCUCCUUCUCCUUCUGCUUAUUGGUUGUCGUCUUCACAUUUUGCCUGGGAGGACCACUAGAACUGGCAGGAGUGCCAUCUGUAGUACAGUAGCGCUUGGAACUACCCGGACGCCCUGGGUUCUUGCGACGAGCAUGAUGAACGGAGCUACCAAAAUCUUGGCAAAGACUACUAUACUCUUAUCUAGCAGUCAUCCUGCAUCCUACUCAUGCCUAGAUUUAGCCAAAAAUAUAUGAAUACCACAUGCAUUGCCCUAGAACCAAGAUUCAAAAAAUAUAACCGUAAGAGAGGAAAAUGAGGGCAAUACUGGUACCCAUGGCAAGAGGAGAAGGUGGGGAUCGAUCCCACCGGUCAGAAACGGAGAAGACGACACGGAUUCAGAGGGCCAGAGCCGGCCUCCGGAGCAGUUUUGGAUCGCCUAAGAGAGAGAACACGAGAGGAGAGGAAAUGAAUGGGUAUGGGGGAGCGGUAGUACUGCACCCCAUAGCGGUAGUACUGUACCCCAUAGCGGUAGUACUGCCCCAGUGCUUUUGAUAGGGGAUCGUCACACUGUACUCAUCGGUAUUACUGUAGGCCUGUGCGGUAGUACCGCCUGAGUGGUAGUGUCGUGCCUGCCAACGGUAGUAUCAGUUGCUACCAGAAAACUACAAUGGAUCAAAAAGGGAAUAUGUGCUUGUGCAAUUCUAAGAGGUUUGAGGAGGGGAAGGCUUAGGUUGGAGACAAGAAAACACAUCAAAUGGAAAGGAUUACUCCAAGGUCAAAAACAACAAAAAGGAAAGCACACUUGGAGUAGUCCAACAACCGAAAGCGAAAGACACGAGAGCACACCUCAAACCAAACGGAGCCAACCCUCUCAAAGAGCGGGCGGUGACCGAGAUCACCUAUGUUUGAGUUACUUGGUAUGGCACCGCAGAGAUUUUAACCUUGGGCCCAUGACCAAAACUCAUAUUUGAAGCACAAGUACCAUCAAGAAUGGCUAAUGUGAAAGACUUGAUCAAUCUAUGAAUAAUGUGGGGAGGGAGAGUUCAUUGAGAGAACAACACUCCCCCUAUGUCCAUGCCUACAUCUAGAACAAGAUAAUAUGAUGAAUGCGGUGCGGUGUGCCUAGAUUCAAGCCACAUUGCUCAAAUCAAUGAUAUUUUGCUCAUGCCUUAACUCAUGAAAUCUUUCUUCAUCUAAAGGCUUCAUGAAAAUAUCCGCUAAUUUCUCUUGAGUGUUGAUGUAGAUGAUCUCAAUCUCCCCACGCUUUAUGUGAUCCCGAAUGAAAUGAUGACGGAUCUCAAUAUGCUUCGUCUUGCUAUGUUGCAUCUGAUUGUAGGAGAUCCUUAUGCCACUUUCAUUGUCACAUAGAAGAGGCACUUUGUCACAAGUGACACCGUAAUCUUUUAAAGUUUGCCUCAUCCAUAGCAAUUGUGCACAACAACUCGCAGCGGCUACAUACUCGACCUUGGUGGUGGAGAGAGACACAUAGUUUUGCUUCUUUGAUGACCAACUCACCAAAGAGUGACCAAGUAGUUGGCACCCUCUAGAAAUUGACUUCCUAUCCACAACGCCUCCAGCCCAAUCCGAGUCUGAAUACCCCAUGAGAUCAAAGCUUGUUCCUUUGGGGUACCAUAGGCCAAAGUUUGGGGUAUGAGCUAAAUAUCGAAAGAUUCGCUUAACCGCCACAUGGUGACUUUCCUUAGGUGCGGCUUGGAACCUUGCACACAUUCCUACACUCAACAUAAUAUCCGUUCUAGAUGAACAAAGGUAAAGCAAGGAUCCAAUCAUGGAGAAAUAUACCUUUUGAUCCACCGCUUAACCAUUGGGAUCAAUGUCAAGCUUGCAUUUGGUUGGCAUUGGAGUCUUAGCCGGCUUGACAUCAUCUAGUUUGAAUCUCUUGAGCGUGUCUUGGGUAUAUUUGGCUUGAUUGAUGAAAGUCCCUUCUCUUCUUUGCUUGACUUUGAACCCGAGAAAGAACUUCAACUCCACCAUCAUAGACAUCUCAAACUUCUCGGUCAUGAGUGUGAAAAACUCAUCAUUGAAAGCUUUGUUAGGAGAACAAAAAAUAAUAUCAACAACAUAUAGUUGGCAUAUGAACAAGUCCCCUUUAACCAUCUUUGUAAAAAGAGUGGGAUCUAUUUUCCCAAUUUCAAACCCACGGUCUUGCAACAACUCGGUAAGGUGCUCAUACCACGCACGUGGGGCUUGUUUAAGGCCAUAGAGUGCCUUAUCGAGUUUAUGCAUAUGCAAGCAACAUGCGAAUAGAUUCAAGGCGAGCAACGGGAGCAAAGGUUUCACCGUAGUCGAUGCCCUCGACUUGGGAGUAGCCUUGUGCUACCAAUAUUGCCUUGUUGCGAGUGACUACACUGUUCACAUCUUUCUUGUUCUUGAAGGUCCAUUUGGUCCCGAUGACAUUAUGAUUAUCCUUUGGCCUUGGCACCAAUUGACACACCUUGUUGCGCUCAAAGUUGUUGAGUUCAUCAUGCAUGGCUUCAAGACAAUCCGGUCCUCGAGCGCCUCAUGUACCUUUUGGGGUUCAAUACAAGAAACAAACGUGUGAUGCUCACAAAAGUUUGUUAAUUGUCUACGAGUGGUUACCCCUUUUCUUAAGCUUCCAAGCACAUUCUCCGUGACAUGUUGUUGGUGCUUGGGCUUGGAAGCAACUUUGGCGGCUCCGAGCUCCAAUAGCUCCUCAAUAGGAAUUUGAGGAUCGUCAUCUUGAUCAUAUUGAGCACCGUCUUGAGCUUGCUCUUGAUCUUGAGCCUCCUCUUGAUCUUAUCUUGCUUGGAGUCAUGAACUUGAUCUUGAGCAUCACUUGGUGGAUCACCAUCAUCAUGGGUUGGAUGUUGCCCUUGAUCUUGUUCACUUGGUUGAGGGCCUUCACUUUGUUCUUACGAAGCGUGUGGAUCCAGUGUCGAUGAUGGGUCCACAUGAGUAGAGCAUUAUCCUUCACCUUUGGCCAUAAGGGGUUUCUCAAUGGGUAGUAUUUGACCAAUCCUCAUUCUUCUUAUGGCUUGAGGAGUAAUUUCAUCACCUAUAUCACAAAGACCACUUUGCUCCACUUGGGAGCCAUUAUUUUCAUCAAACUCCAUGUUACACGUCUCCUCAAUGAGUCCGGUGGACUUGUUAAGGGCACGAUAAGCAUGAGAGUUUGUAGCAUAACCAACAAAUAUGCCCUCUUGAGCUCUAGGUUCAAAUUUAGACAAACAGACACCUUUCUUGAGGAUGAAACACUUACAACCAAACACUCGAAAGUACUUGAGGUUGGGCUUGUUACCGGUAAAUAUCUCAUAUGGAGUCUUGUUCAAGCCUUUGCAGAGGUAGAGCCGAUUGGAUGCAUGACAUGCGGUGUUGAUGGCUUCGGCCCAAAAGUAGUACGGAGAUUUGAAUUCUGCCAUCAUGGUCCUUGCCGCGUCCAUCAAUGUCCGGUUCUUCCUCUCCGCUACACCAUUUUUUGAGGGGUAUAUGGUGCAGAGUAUUGAUGUUUGAUCCCCUCAUCACUAAGAAACUCCUCCAAGGUGUAGUUCUUGAACUUGGUGCUGUUGUCACUUCGAAUCAUCAAAAUCCUUGCUUCAUAUUGACGUUGAGCUUCAUUUGCAAAGUCGAUGAUGGUUUGUUGAGUCUCACUCUUCUUCUUGAAGAAGUAUACCCAUGUAUAUCUUGAGUAAUCAUCCACAAUCACCAAGCAAAACUUUCUCCCUCCAAGGAUAUCGUAAGAUGGAGGACCAAAGAGAUCCAUGUGGAGGAGCUCCAAGGGCCUCUUCGAGUAGAUGAUAGUUGAGGGUUGGUGAGCCGUCUCAUGUAACUUUCCUUCGAUACAAGCACUGCAAGCACGGUCUUUGGCAAAACUCACAUUUGUUAGUCCAUGAACAUGGUCUCCCUUGAGAAUACUUUGCAAAGAUCUCAUAUUGACAUGGGCUAGUCAGUGAUGCCAAAGCCAACCCACAUCAACUUUAGCCAUUAGGCAAGUCGCGGUCUUAGUGGGUCGCUCCGAGAAGUUAACCACAUAGAGACCGUUCUUGACGUGCCCAACAAAAGCUACUUUACGAGUCUUGCUCCACAAAAGGGCCACGGUACCAAGAUCAAAGAAUGUUGCAAAUCCCAUAAGUGCAAGUUGACGAAUGGAAAGUAAAUUGUAUGCAAGGGACUCAACAAGAAUGACCUUCUCAAUAGAUAAAUCUUGAGAGAUGACCACCUUGCCAAGACCCAAUACCUUAUAAGUUGAAGCAUCACCGAAUUGGACAUGAGUGGGCAUAGAUGGAAUAGGUUGUACAUCCUCCACCAAGUCAUUGAUCCCGGUUAUAUGAUUUGUUGCUCCACUAUCGAGCAACCAUGACACCCCAUCGGAAGCAAACUCCUACAAGGGAUCAAUGCUUGGAUUUAGCUACCCAUUUUUGAAUGGGUCCUUUGAGGUUAGCAACAAGGGUCUUAGGAACCCAAAUAGACCAUUCAAUUUACUCGUAAGAAGAGCCAUUUUUUUUGGCAUAAACAUUGUAACACCCCGAGAAUCAUGCUACAGUAACCCUCUGUGAUUAAGCUAAUCAUGUUGCUAAACAGGGCUUGAUCACAUUUGGAACACAUUUCUUUUCAAACUCCUAAUUCAAACUUCAAUUAAAUUUAAAGUGGAAAAUAAAAGUUUUCAAAAAUUUAAACAAAAAUGUUCGGUGGGUGCCAAAUAAUACACUGGUAAUUAUGGUGGAGAAAACACAUUUUUAUAAAGUACCUAAAUACUUUUAAAUGAAAUAAAACAGAAAAGAAAAUAAACAAAUAAAAAGAAAAUGCAAAAGAACACAGACAAAGAAAAAGAAAAAGGAGAAGGCCCUCCCCCACAGCACCCCUGGCCCAACUGGGCCGACCCCCGGCCCAGCCCACCUCUCCCACUCGCCCUCCUUCCCUGUUCCCCCGACCAGGGUCGGAACAGGGGCCGGUCCCCGCCGCACCACCUCGCCGGCGACGGGGAGGAUAAGGGCGCCAGCACCCCCCCGCCUCCUCGGGCCUCUCUCCCACUCGCCCCCGCUCUCCUCUCGGCCUCUGCGCCUCUCUCUUCCCCCCCAGAUCCGCGCCGCUCCUUCCUUCCCCACGCCCGACGCGGUCGCCGCCGUUCACCGUCGUUCACACGGCCACCGUACCCACCUCGCCGCCCCAAGGUGUCUCCAAGGACCGCCGUCGCCCGCUGCUUCGUCUGGUGCAGCCCGUUGGAGACCGGAGCCCCUGCAACGACCUCCCCGAGCUCGUCUUCAACUUCGGACGCCGGCGACCCCCCUUCUUCCCCGGCGCCGACCUGCUGCUCCUAAGCCUCUCACCGGCCUCCGUGUGCCGCGCGGUGAGCCUCUCCCCCUCCUCCCCUGUCCUUUCUCUCUCGCGCGCCCCGUAGCUGCUUCCCCACGCGCGCCCGAACGCCGCGCCGCGGAGCUCGCCGCCGGCAAGGCUCCGGUGACCUUUUGGUCACGGGCUCAAGCCCGUUGCACUCCCCACCUCGCGUAGAUGCCCCCCAGCCCCUCCGCUUGCUCGAUAGCCCGCCGUAGCCUCGUUUCCAUCGGGCACCCGUGCGCGCCGCCGCCUCCGCCACUCGCCGGCGUCGAUUCCGGCCAAGUCCGGCGAAGCCCCGGCCACCACUGGAUGCGGCGCUGCGAGCUCUUUCGAAUGGGCCUAGCCCCGCUCCUCCCCGAGCCCCGUAGCGCGAUUCCGGCCAACUCCGGCGAGGGGCCGCCGCUGUUUUGGUCGCCGGAGUCGCUCCGGCGCCGGCCGCCGACGUGGCUGGCCUGGGGCCACCCCAGUGCCACUGCCAGUGGGCCCCGUGGGCCCCGUUGACUGGGUCAACCCAGUCAACGUGUUGACUGGGCAGACCCAGCCACUGACAUGCGGGCCCCGCCGCAAAAUUAAAAAAAAAGAGAAAAGAAAAUGUUUUUAUAAUUAAAACUAAUUAAUUAAUCUAAUCACUCACUGACAGGUGGGCCCAGUAGUUAAUUAACUAAAAAUUAAUUAGUUUAAUCUUCUGUUAGCCCACUGUCUAUCACAGGUGGGGCCCACUGGUCAGUUUGACCUGGUCAGCCGCUCUGUUGACCUGCUGACGUCAGCAUUGCCUCAUGCUGACGUCAUAAUUCAUUUUUGCUUAAUUCAAAUAAUUCCAGAAAUUCAAAUAAACUUUGAAAAUUCAUAUCUUUUAAACCGUAACUCGGAUGAAAAUGUUUUCUAUAUGAAAGUUGCUCAGAACGACGAGACGAAUCCGAAUACGCAGUCCGUUCGUCCACCACACCUUCCUAACCUAUCGAACUAGCAACUUUCCCCCUUCGGUCCAUCUGUCCGAAAACGCGAAACAUCGGGAAUACCUCCCGGUUGUUUCCCCCCUUCACCGGUACCAUCUACUGUCGCGUUAGGUCACACCUAGCACCGCUCGUUUUCAUGUCACGCAUCGUCAUGCUUAUGUUUGCAUUGUAUUUACUGUUUCUUCCCCCUCUUCUCUCCGGUAGACUACGAGACCGACACUGCUGCUGCCCAGUUCGACUACGGAGUCGACGACCCCUCCUACUUGCCAGAGCAACCAGGCAAGCCCCCCCCCUUGAUCACCAGAUAUCGCCUACUCUUCUCUAUUCUGCUUGCAUUAGAGUAGUGUAGCAUGUUACUGCUUUCGAUAUCCUAUCCUGAUGCAUAGCCUAUCCUUGCUACUACUGUUGUUACCUUUACCUGCAAUCCUACAUGCUUAGUAUAGGAUGCUAGAUUUCCAUCAGUGGCCCUACAUUCUUGUCCGUCUGCUGUGCUAUACUAUCGGGCCGUGAUCACCUGGGCGUGAUCACGGGUAUAUACUUAUAUACUAUAUACAUGACACAUGAGAUGACUAAAGUCGGGUCGGCUCGUAGGAGUACCCGCGAGUGGAUCUUUGUGGCGGAGCGACAGGGCAGGUUGAGACUGCCUAGGUGAGAGGUGGGCCCGGCCCUGGUCGGCGUUCGCGGUUACUUAACACGCUUAACGAGAUCUUGGUAUUUGAUCUGAGUCUGGCCAUUUGGUCUAUACGCACUAACCAUCUACGUGGGAGUAGUUAUGGGUAUCCCGACGUCGUGGUAUCAGCCGAAGCUCUUUUGACGUCAGCAACUGAGUGGCGCGCGCCGCAUUGGACCGUAAGCUCGCGCUUGUAUUAAGGGGGCUAGGUCUGCUUCCGGCCGCGUACGCAACGUGCAGGUGUGCAUAGGGCGAUGGGCCCAGACCCCUGCGCGCAUAGGUUUAGACCGGCGUGCUGACCUCUCUGAUGAGCCUAGGUGGGGCUGCGACGUGUUGAUCUUACGAGGCCGGGCAUGACCCAGAAAAGUGUGUCCGGCCAACUGGGAUCGAGCGUGUUGGGUUAUGUGGUGCACCCCUGCAGGGAAGUUUAUCUAUUCGAAUAGCCGUGUCCCUCGGUAAAAGGACGACCCGGAGUUGUACCUUGACCUUAUGACAACUAGAACUGGAUUCUGAAUAAAAUACACCCUUCCAAGUGCCAGAUACAACCCGGUGAUCGCUCUCUAACAGGGCGACGAGGAGGGGAUCGCCGGGUAGGAUUAUGCUAUGCGAUACUACUUGGAGGACUUCAAUCUACUCUCUUCUACAUGCUGCAAGAUGGAGAUGACCAGAAGCGUAGUCUUCGACAGGACUAGCUAUCCCCCUUUUAUUCUGGCAUUCUGCAGUUCAGUCCACUGAUAUGCCCCUUUACACAUAUACCCAUGCAUAUGUAGUAUAGCUCCUUGCUUGCGAGUACUUUGGAUGAGUACUCACGGUUGCUUCUCUCCCUCUUUCCCCCUUUCCUGUCUAUCUGGUUGUCGCAACCAGAUGUUGGAGUCCAGGAGCCAGACGCCACCGUCGACGACGACACCUACGACACUGGAGGUGCCUACUACUACGUGCAGGCCGCUGACGACGACCAGGAGUAGUUAGGAGGAUCCCAGGCAGGAGGCCUGCGCCUCGUUCGAUCUGUACCCCAGUUUGUGCUAGCCUUCUUAAGGCAAACUUGUUUAACUUAUGUCUGUACUCAGAUAUUGUUGCUUCCGCUGACUCGUCUAUGAUCGAGCACUUGUAUUCGAGCCCUCGAGGCCCCUGGCUUGUAUUAUAAUGCUUGUAUGACUUAUUUAUGUUUUAGAGUUGUGUUGUGAUAUCUUCCCGUGAGUCCCUGAUCUUGGUCGUACGCAUUUGCGUGCAUGAUUAGUGUACGGUCAAAUCGGGGGCGUCACAAGUUGGUAUCAGAGCCGACUGCAUGUAGGAAUCCCCCUUUCCACUCUCCUUGGCCGAAGUCGAGUCUAGACAUUACGAAAACUUUUACUAACAUGGCUGUGUGUCUUACGGGCCCACGUCGCCAUUGGGUGGUACUAGGAUCUUUUACUCCUCGACCUUUACUCUGGGACUCUGAACUCUCUUCUACUCGGGUUAAACGAAUUUACUAACUCUAACACUAGGAUCCCGUGACCGUAUUCACCCCAAAGUUGGAUAAGCCAUAGUUGUUUCUUAGAAUAGUAUUUUGAACAAUUCACGCACUGUCAUUUGACUCCUUUGAAACGUCUUUGCUUUCAGAUGGAACCCUCGAGGCAGGUCGUGCGCCACACGACGGCCAUUGGUGCCUCGGGAUCACCUGCGGUGCUAGCUGAGAUGAUGACCUAUCUGGGUUAUCGCUGGCACCCUGAGUACACCGUCUACGAGGAGUACCAGGACUUUAACCAGGAGCUGUACCGUGCCAUCGUCCACCUCUACUCUCGGGAGUAUGACUCCACUACUGUGCUGCACACCGCACAUGGUGUUGGUGUGACCAUCGAUAUGGCUGUCCACGAUGCUGCCUAUGCUGCUCUGACACGUCUUCAUGGAGAGUAUCAGGAGUUGGACACCUCCCCUUUCAGGCACAUUGCUAUCGCAUCUGAUGUUGGUGCGGAGGGAUACUAUACUGCUGCCUACUCCACUGUCACCCGAGAGCCCUUCUACCAUCAGCACCUGGUUCUGCAUGCUGAUGGGCUGGAUCGAGCUAACCGAGCUCUUCGCCACGAGAUGUACACCACCCGUCAGCACCUUUACCGUGCUCUGACGCUGCUGCACCCCUUUGUCCGAUCUGGACAGGUACCGCGUACUGCGAUCUACCCAGCCAGGACCGUGAUGCCCCACGGUGUCGGUUGGCCAGAGGUGGGAGGCUACUCUCCCGCACUUGGUCCUCUUCUGCCACCUGAGCGUCGGGCUCUACACCUGAGUAUCCGCGGCCCCCAGUCUGCUGACGUGGAGGGCUAUCCGUUGCCUCACUACCAGCUGUCGGGCUACGAUUACCUCCAUAGUACCUCUUGGGACUGAUGUAGUCUUGCUUAGUUAGUAUUAGUUGCAGUCGCCGCGAGCCUGUGUGCCGCCUAUGAUGUUUUAGUCUAUGUACUGAACUCUAUGUACUGAACUCUGUGCAUGACCCCUUUUGUAAGUUAUGACGACUACUAUGUAGUAGCUAUCGUGCUCCUUUCAUUAUGCAUGUUUCAUCAUGAAUGAUUCUUGUCUUAGCACAUAUUCUCAAUGCUGAACUACCCCUGUUAUAUAUUAGCAGGAUGGUUAGACCAGGUGGUCGUGGUCGUGGUGGCGAUGCCCCACCACCACCUGAGUACAUGGCUGGUAUGAUCCAACAGUUUGAACUGAACCGCCAAUUCAUGGAAAAUAUGAUGGCUCAGUUUCCUCGCCCCAAUAUGAACCAGCAGCCAGCUCAAGUGACUCUUCAAGAUUUCAUACGCCUCAACCCAACCAUCUACCGCAGCUCAACUCAGCCUCUGGAUGCUGAUGACUGGCUCCGUGACAUCACCUAUGAGAUGGAGUCUGCUGAUGUAGCCCCUGCCAGCUAUGUCACCUUUGCUUCCUUCUUCUUGAAGGGACCCGCAGCUCAAUGGUGGGACAGCCACAGGCGUACUCUGCCAACUGGAACAAUCAUCACCUGCCCAGACUUCCAAGCAGCUUUCCGUGCCCGCUUCAUUCCUCAAGGAGUCAUGGACCGGAAGAAGCGUGAGUUCCGCAACCUCACCCAAGGCAACAAAACUGUCGAAGCUUAUCAGCGGGAGUUUCUGGACUUGUCCCGCUAUGCUGAAGAAGACAUUGCAACUGAUGCACGCAGACAGGAGAAGUUCCGUGAUGGCCUUCAAGCUGACAUCAAGCUCGCACUUCUAGUGCAUGACUUUGCUGAUUUCGCCACCUUGGUGAACAAGGCCAUCAAUGUCAAAACUGGUCUGCAGGAAUAUCAGAGCUCUCACAGACGCAACCGUGACACGGGCUCAUCUUCGGGCUUGCCCGCACAGAAGCGUAAGAUAUGGAUCCCGAACAGCAUGUACCGUCCAAAUGCUUCUGCCCCAAGGCAGACAUAUGCUACACCUCGUCUGCCUCCACCACCAUCUAGGCAGUCAAGACUUCCAGCUCCACCGUCUCAAGCCCCUGUUCCCACUCCCAAUAAUGGUCUGUGCUACAAGUGUGGACAACCAGGUCACCGUGCCAGGGACUGCCAUCAGAAUCAGAAUCAACUUGCCCUCCCAGCAACGGGCCGUGGUAACAACCAGCCCCGCAACAACAAUGCUAAGCCUUAUGGUCGUGCUCAUGCCAACCACGUUGAUCUCAACGAAGCUCAAGACCAGCCUGCUACUGUGAUGGGUACACUCCUCGUAAAUUCAGUACCAGCAUCCGUUUUAUUUGAUACAGGUACAUCGCAUUCAUUCAUGUCAGAAGAUUUUGCAUACAAGCACGACGUUAAAUGUGAGGAGAUGAACACCUCUGUAUUGGUCAAAACCCCCGUGGGACAGUGUCAAACCUCCUUGGUUGGCAUCGAUGUCCCCGUGGAAAUCGAAGGGCUGGAAUUCUAUGCCUCUCCCAUUAUCCUGAAGUCGUCUAACAUCGGCCUCAUUUUGGGUAUGGAUUGGCUGAAAGCGCAUACUGCUUCUAUAGUAUGCGCCACUAAAACCGUCCAUCUGCUACACCCUUCAGAUGAAAUAGUUGCUUACCAAGCUAAUCUGGUGCAAAAUGCCGAGGCAAGGCUCUAUGCAUUGAAUGCAUUGAACGCUGCACCACUCGAGGGCAUUGAAAACAUUCCCGUCGUGCGUGAAUUCCUCGACGUCUUCCCUGAAGAACUUCCAGGGAUUCCCCCUGCUAGAGCUGUCGAAUUCAUCAUCGACUUGAAACCAGGCACCACUCCUAUAGCCAAGCGACCCUACAAAAUGCCACCGCAUGAACUCCUUGAGCUUAAGGAGGAAAUCGAAAAAUCUCUUCACAAAGGAUUCAUUCGCCCAAGUUGCUCUCCUUGGGGAGCACCUUCUCUCUUUGUCAAGAAGAAGGAUGGGACUAACCGAUUGGUUCAAGACUACCGUCCUAUAAACCAAGCUACCAUUCAGAAUAAAUACCCUCUUCCUCGGAUCAAUGAUCUGUAUGAUCAACUGGCGGGUUCGUCAGUGUUCUCUAAGCUCGACUUGAGGUUGGGCUACCACCAGAUCCGUGUUCGCGAAGAGGAUAUCCCAAAGACCGCCUUCGUGACUCGCUAUGGGUCAUACGAGUACACCGUCAUGUCUUUCGGUUUAACCAAUGCUCCAGCCACCUUCUCUCGUCUGAUGAACUAUAUAUUCAUGGAUUACCUCGACAAGUUCGUCGUGGUUUAUCUGGAUGACAUCCUGGUAUUUUCCAAGAACGAAGAAGAACAUGCUGAACAUCUUUGACUUGUGCUGGAAAAGCUACGAGAACAUCAACUAUAUGCCAAGUUCUCCAAAUGUGAAUUCUGGCUACCGGAAGUAACCUAUCUUGGGCAAGUCAUCUCUAAGGAUGGUAUUGCCGUCAACCCCGAGCGAGUUCAGGCUAUUCUUGAUUGGACUCCUCCCAAGAACGUUAAGCAAGUCAGAAGUUUUCUCGGUCUCGCUAGCUAUUGCCGUCGAUUCGUCGAGAACUUCUCUAAGAUCGCCAGGCCUCUGACUAACCUAUUGCAUAAGGGUGUCAAGUUCCAAUGGACAGACAAAUGUCAGGAAAGUUUCCAGGCACUCAAAGACAAGUUGACUUCUGCCCCAGUUCUAGCUCCACCUGAUACUAAGAAGGACUUCGUCAUUUACUGCGACGCUUCCCGUCAAGGAUUAGGCUGUGUCCUAAUGCAAGACCACAAAGUGAUUGCUUAUGCCUCUCGGCAAUUGCGCCCUCACGAAGAGAACUACCCAGUUCACGACCUCGAACUUGCUGCUGUCAUUCAUGCGCUGAAGCAGUGGCGACAUUACCUUCUCGGUAAUCAUUGCGAGAUCUUCACUGACCACCAAAGUCUGAAAUAUCUGUUUACUCAGCCAGAUCUGAACCUCCGUCAACAGAGAUGGAUGGAGCUUGUUGCAGACUUUGACUUGGGUAUUUCCUAUACGCCAGGCAAGGCUAAUGUAAUGGCUGAUGCCUUGAGCCACAAGUCUUACUGCAACCACCUCCAGGUUCACAAAGUUCAGCCCUCGCUUGUUGAAGAAUUCAGGAAGCUGAACCUCCAUAUUGUUCCUCCGGGUGCCCUCGCUCCCCCUCCUAAGGAGUUUGGCAAGGUGAACCUCCACGUUGUUACCCAGGGUUCCCUCAAUACCCUAGUUGCUACACCAGAUCUCGUGGAUAGCAUCAAAAGGCUACAGAAGUAUGACUCUGAAGCCCACAAGAUUAAGCGCUACCUCGCAGAAGGAAAGCCCUCAUUCUUCAUCAUUGCUGAAGAUGGCACCCUAUACUUCAAGGGCCGCCUAGUGGUGCCAUGUGCAGAGAAAAACCUGGAUAUGACACAGGAAGUUAUGAAAGAAGCUCAUGAUACGCCUCUAUGUAUCCACCCUGGUAGUACAAAGAUGUACCAAGACAUCCGUCAGAGAUUCUGGUGGUCUAAUAUGAAGCAAGCCAUUGCUCGUUAUGUUGCAGAGUGUGACGUUUGCCGUCGUAUCAAAGCAGAACAUCAAAGGCCUGCUGGAACUCUGCAACCUAUCUCUAUUCCUGAAUGGAAAUGGGACCAUGUUGAGAUGGACUUCGUCACUGGAUUUCCCAAAUCACAGAAAGGUAAUGAUGCUAUUCUUGUCGUCAUUGACCGGCUUUCCAAAGUUGCACAUUUCCUGGCAGUCAAAGAAACGAUCACUGCUAGCCAGUUGGCAACGCUCUAUAUGUCCAGGAUUGUUUCACUCCACGGUAUUCCAUUGGUUAUCAGCUCAGACCGUGGCAGCUUAUUCACUUCAAGAUUCUGGGCAAGUUUCCAAGAAGCUAUGGGAACUCAUCUGUCAUUCAGUACUGCGUUUCAUCCUCAAUCGCAAGGACAAGUUGAACGCGUCAACCAAGUUCUCGAAGACAUGCUUCGAGCUUGCGUUAUUUCCUUCGGCAAGAAAUGGGAGGAAUCUCUCCCGUAUGCUGAGUUCUCUUAUAAUAAUAGCUAUCAAGCUAGUCUGAAGAUGGCCCCCUUCGAAGUGUUAUAUGGACGAAAGUGCCGAACCCCUCUGAACUGGUCAGAAACUGGGGAACGUCCACUCUUCGGCCCGGAUAUUAUCCAAGAUGCCGAAGAACAAGUCCGCAUUAUUCGCGAGAAUCUCAAGACUGCUCAGUCACGUCAGAAGAGUCAGUAUGACCGUCAUCAUAAAGACAUGGUCUAUCAACCUAGCGAAAAGGCUUAUCUUCGAGUCACACCUAUGAAGGGUGCUCACCGCUUCGAGAUCAAGGGCAAACUAGCUCCUCGCUAUAUUGGCCCAUUCACUAUUCUCGAAAGGCGUGGAAAAGUGGCAUACCAACUGGAGCUACCGCCGAACCUUUCUCAGGUUCACGAUGUGUUCCAUGUGUCGCAGCUCCGCCGUUGCUUCAAGGACCCAAUCCGAGCUGUGGAUCAUGAAGUGCUCGAAUUGCAGCAAGACCUCUCCUAUAAGGAGCAUCCGAUCCGCAUUCUCGACCAAGCUGAACGCCGCACACGUCAGAAGGCGAUCAAGUUUCUCAAAGUCCAGUGGUCGCACCAUUCUGAAGAUGAGGCCACUUGGGAACGAGAGGAUCGUCUGCGCGAAGAAUACCCCGCACUGUUUCCUUCUACCUCCUAAAUCUCGGGACGAGAUUUCUUGUAGUGGAGGAGAUUUGUAACACCCCGAGAAUCAUGCUACAGUAACCCUCUGUGAUUAAGCUAAUCAUGUUGCUAAACAGGGCUUGAUCACAUUUGGAACACAUUUCUUUUCAAACUCCUAAUUCAAACUUCAAUUAAAUUUAAAGUGGAAAAUAAAAGUUUUCAAAAAUUUAAACAAAAAUGUUCGGUGGGUGCCAAAUAAUACACUGGUAAUUAUGGUGGAGAAAACGCAUUUUUAUAAAGUACCUAAAUACUUUUAAAUGAAAUAAAACAGAAAAGAAAAUAAACAAAUAAAAAGAAAAUGCAAAAGAACACAGACAAAGAAAAAGAAAAAGGAGAAGGCCCUCCCCCACAGCACCCCUGGCCCAACUGGGCCGACCCCCGGCCCAGCCCACCUCUCCCACUCGCCCUCCUUCCCUGUUCCCCCGAUCGGGGUCGGAACAGGGGCCGGUCCCCGCCGCACCACCUCGCCGGCGACGGGGAGGAUAAGGGCGCCAGCACCCCCCCGCCUCCUCGGGCCUCUCUCCCACUCGCCCCCGCUCUCCUCUCGGCCUCUGCGCCUCUCUCUUCCCCCCCAGAUCCGCGCCGCUCCUUCCUUCCCCACGCCCGACGAGGUCGCCGCCGUUCACCGUCGUUCACACGGCCACCGUACCCACCUCGCCGCCCCAAGGUGUCUCCAAGGACCGCCGUCGCCCGCUGCUUCGUCUGGUGCAGCCCGUUGGAGACCGGAGCCCCUGCAACGACCUCCCCGAGCUCGUCUUCAACUUCGGACGCCGGCGACCCCCCUUCUUCCCCGGCGCCGACCUGCUGCUCCUAAGCCUCUCACCGGCCUCCGUGUGCCGCGCGGUGAGCCUCUCCCCCUCCUCCCCUGUCCUUUCUCUCUCGCGCGCCCCCUAGCUGCUUCCCCACGCGCGCCCGAACGCCGCGCCGCGGAGCUCGCCGCCGGCAAGGCUCCGGUGACCUUUUGGUCACGGGCUCAAGCCCGUUGCACUCCCCACCUCGCGUAGAUGCCCCCCAGCCCCUCCGCUUGCUCGAUAGCCCGCCGUAGCCUCGUUUUCGUCGGGCACCCGUGCGCGCCGCCGCCUCCGCCGCUCGCCGGCGCCGAUUCCGGCCAAGUCCGGUGAAGCCCCGGCCACCACUGGAUGCGGCGCUGCGAGCUCUUUCGAAUGGGCCUAGCCCCGCUCCUCCCCGAGCCCCGUAGCGCGAUUCCGGCCAACUCCGGCGAGGGGCCGCCGCUGUUUUGGUCGCCGGAGUCGCUCCGGCGCCGGCCGCCGACGUGGCUGGCCUGGGGCCACCCCAGUGCCACUGCCAGUGGGCCCCGUGGGCCCCGUUGACUGGGUCAACCCAGUCAACGUGCUGACUGGGCAGACCCAGCCACUGACAUGCGGGCCCUGCCGCAAAAUUAAAAAAAAAGAGAAAAGAAAAUGUUUUUAUAAUUAAAACUAAUUAAUUAAUCUAAUCACUCACUGACAGGUGGGCCCAGUAGUUAAUUAACUAAAAAUUAAUUAGUUUAAUCUUCUGUUAGCCCACUUUCUAUCACAGGUGGGGCCCACUGGUCAGUUUGACCUGGUCAGCCGCUCUGUUGACCUGCUGACGUCAGCAUUGCCUCAUGCUGACGUCAUAAUUCAUUUUUGCUUAAUUCAAAUAAUUCCAGAAAUUCAAAUAAACUUUGAAAAUUCAUAUCUUUUAAACCGUAACUCGGAUGAAAAUGUUUUCUAUAUGAAAGUUGCUCAGAACGACGAGACAAAUCCGAAUACGCAGUCCGUUCGUCCACCACACCUCCCUAACCUAUCGAACUAGCAACUUUCCCCCUCCGGUCCGUUUGUCCGAAAACGCGAAACAUCGGGAAUACCUCCCGGUUGUUUCCCCCCUUCACCGGUACCAUCUACUGUCGCGUUAGGUCACACCUAGCACCGCUCGUUUUCAUGUCACGCAUCGUCAUGCUUAUGUUUGCAUUGUAUUUACUAUUUCUUCCCCCUCUUCUCUCCGGUAGACUACGAGACCGACACUGCUGCUGCCCAGUUCGACUACGGAGUCGACGACCCCUCCUACUUGCCAGAGCAACCAGGCAAGCCCCCCCUUGAUCACCAGAUAUCGCCUACUCUUCUCUAUUCUGCUUGCAUUAGAGUAGUGUAGCAUGUUACUGCUUUCGAUAUCCUAUCCUGAUGCAUAGCCUAUCCUUGCUACUACUGUUGUUACCUUUACCUGCAAUCCUACAUGCUUAGUAUAGGAUGCUAGAUUUCCAUCAGUGGCCCUACAUUCUUGUCCGUCUGCUAUGCUAUACUAUCGGGCCGUGAUCACCUGGGCGUGAUCACGGGUAUAUACUUAUAUACUAUAUACAUGACACAUGAGAUGACUAAAGUCGGGUCGGCUCGUAGGAGUACCCGCGAGUGGAUCUUUGUGGCGGAGCGACAGGGCAGGUUGAGACUGCCUAGGUGAGAGGUGGGCCUGGCCCUGGUCGGCGUUCGCGGUUACUUAACACGCUUAACGAGAUCUUGGUAUUUGAUCUGAGUCUGGCCAUUUGGUCUAUACGCACUAACCAUCUACGUGGGAGUAGUUAUGGGUAUCCCGACGUCGUGGUAUCAGCCGAAGCUCUUUUGACGUCAGCAACUGAGUGGCGCGCGCCGCAUUGGACCGUAAGCUCGCGCUUGUAUUAAGGGGGCUAGGUCUGCUUCCGGCCGCGUACGCAACGUGCAGGUGUGCAUAGGGCGAUGGGCCCAGACCCCUGCGCGCAUAGGUUUAGACCGGCGUGCUGACCUCUCUGAUGAGCCUAGGUGGGGCUGCGACGUGUUGAUCUUACGAGGCCGGGCAUGACCCAGAAAAGUGUGUCCGGCCAACUGGGAUCGAGCGUGUUGGGUUAUGUGGUGCACCCCUGCAGGGAAGUUUAUCUAUUCGAAUAGCCGUGUCCCUCGGUAAAAGGACGACCCGGAGUUGUACCUUGACCUUAUGACAACUAGAACUGGAUUCUGAAUAAAAUACACCCUUCCAAGUGCCAGAUACAACCCGGUGAUCGCUCUCUAACAGGGCGACGAGGAAGGGAUCGCCGGGUAGGAUUAUGCUAUGCGAUACUACUUGGAGGACUUCAAUCUACUCUCUUCUACAUGCUGCAAGAUGGAGAUGACCAGAAGCGUAGUAUUCGACAGGACUAGCUAUCCCCCUUUUAUUCUGGCAUUCUGCAGUUCAGUCCACUGAUAUGCCCCUUUACACAUAUACCCAUGCAUAUGUAGUAUAGCUCCUUGCUUGCGAGUACUUUGGAUGAGUACUCACGGUUGCUUCUCUCCCUCUUUCCCCCUUUCCUGUCUAUCUGGUUGUCGCAACCAGAUGUUGGAGUCCAGGAGCCAGACGCCACCGUCGACGACGACACCUACGACACUGGAGGUGCCUACUACUACGUGCAGGCCGCUGACGACGACCAGGAGUAGUUAGGAGGAUCCCAGGCAGGAGGCCUGCGCCUCGUUCGAUCUGUACCCCAGUUUGUGCUAGCCUUCUUAAGGCAAACUUGUUUAACUUAUGUCUGUACUCAGAUAUUGUUGCUUCCGCUGACUCGUCUGUGAUCGAGCUCUUGUAUUCGAGCCCUCGAGGCCCCUGGCUUGUAUUAUAAUGCUUGUAUGACUUAUUUAUGUUUUAGAGUUGUGUUGUGAUAUCUUCCCGUGAGUCCCUGAUCUUGGUCGUACGCAUUUGCGUGCAUGAUUAGUGUACGGUCAAAUCGGGGGCGUCACAAACAUGCCCAUCACUAGCAUGACAUAAAACAUAUGAAGGACUAAAGUCGCUAGCUUUCUUAGAAGGGGUGGUCUUGUCCUUCUUGGCAUUACCACCCAUACCCAGGGGUGGUCUUGUCCUUCUUGGCAUUCUCACCUUGUAUGCACGUCACAAGGCCUUUCUCAAGUUGCUCUCUCAACUUGGCAUUCUCCUCCACAAGAUGCUCAUGCUCACAAUAAGAGUUAGUAGCAUUUGCAUUAUCAAUCAAAACAAAAGGAGGACAAGUUGCUAUCUCCUUGGUUAGUUUCACUUGGAGUUGAUCACGAGAGUCCUUGAGAGAGGUAUGAGCACUCUUCAAGGCCUUGUGAGCCUUAUCGAGUAUGUCAAACUCCUCUUUGAGUCUAUCAUGGCCAACCCCAAGUGCAACUUUCUCAGAUUUAAGCACACGAGGAAGAACAGUAGCAUGAUCAAUAUCUUUUUGCAAUUUAGCACGAUCAACGUUGUGUGACUCCUCAAGAGUUAAACGAAGACCUCACUCUUCCUCAAGAGCAAUAGAAAGAUUCGCAAUCUCGUCGACAUAAUCACGACUAUGCUCCUCUAACUUGGAGAUCAUAUCUUCAUGAGACUCAAUGCUAUCAUUGGCCUCACCAAGUUGUUCCAAGAGAGCAAGAAAGUGCUUCUUGGUCUCACCCUUGAGCUUACUCAAGAACUUGUCAAACCCAUUCUCAUCAACUUUUACCACCUCACUAUCAUCCACACAAUCCAACAAAGGAGUAGUAGUGAUAGUGGUUUUGAUGUUGGGGUUACCUUGUUGAUACCUUUGUCCAUGAGGCACUUGGCGAUGAGGUUCUCAUUGGGGGCGCCAAAGAGAGACACCUUGGUUGGGGAAGAGGUGGCAAUGGCCAUGGUUGUUGUUGCCAUUCCUUCACCACUUGUAUCUUCAUCAUCAUCAUCGGAGAUGUACUCUUCUUGUGCCACCAAUCCCUUUUGAUGUAUCUUCUUUGUGAAGUUUUUCUUUCUUGGGAAGGACUUGGCUUUGUCUUUGCGAAUGAGCAUGCCACCAUUGUCCUCCCUCUUCUCAUAAGGACAAUCCACCAUAAAGUGACUCACAUUGCCGCAAUUGUAGCAAGUCCUCACUCGUUUCUUGUUCUUUGGGCCACUUGAGUUGUUCUUGGAGAAGUUGGGCCUUGAGUUUCUCUUAUUGCCCCAAAAUUGCCUUGAAGCAAGAGCCAUGUGCUCAUGGUAAGCAUAUUUGGUGUCUUCAGGGCAACUCUCUUCUUCUUCCUCCUAUUAUUCUUUCGAAAUGGCCUUGGCCUUCAGGCAAGGUUGGGAGAGGCUUUCUUUGACUAGACAUGAGCUAGUGCAUUUUAGGCGGUCUUGUUCAUGAUGUUCAUGGCAAUAAACUCAUCCAACACUUCACUUGAAGACAAGGUGUGAAAAUCCGGCCUUUGAUGAAUCACGGAGGAAAUGGCCUUGUUGAAUGGCAUGAUGGCCUUGAGAAACUUGCGCUUGAUCCAAUUAUCAUCCGUAUCCUUGCUCCCCUGAUCUUGAAGAGCGGUCGCAAGAGUUGUCAAUCUCCGGUAGAGACCACGAGGAUCCUCAUCUUCAUUCAUCACAAAUUCAUCGGCCUCAUCAAGAACCACUUCAAAGUUGGACCAUUGAAUGCUUGAGCUCCCCUUGUACAAAGAUAUGAUGUGUUCCCAAUAAUCCUUUGCCUGGGAGAAAGGGCGCAAGUGAGAUAGAUCUUCGGGAGGCACCGUGGAUUGAAGGAUGAACAACGCGGAGUGAUUGUAUUGAUUGUCCGCUUCUUCUCUUGGAGUAAGAUUGUUUGGAUCAUGCAGGUAGAAACCUUGCUCGAUGAUUCUCCAAAGGUUUGUUGAGCUGUGAUUCAAAUGAGACUUGAUACAAAAAACCCAAUUAGCGAGAUCACCAUUUACAAGCUUAGGAGGAGGACCAAGGUUGUUAAUAUGCGGUGUAGGGACAGGUCCUCCAUAGACCGGGGGAGGGGGAACCGAGGCACAGGUUCCCAUCCCAUUCUUGUUUUGAGGGGAGAAGGUUUGAGUACCUUUAGCCGCUUCCUUGCCGGAAUUGGCCUCCGACUCCGAUGCGGUGGGAUUAACCACAAGCAACGGGUCAGGAGUAGUUUUCAACCCCUCAAGUAAUUAUUUAAGCAUGGACUUGACCUCGGACCUCAUAGACGUCUUAAGUGAAGUCAUAGCUUCAUUUAAGUCAUCUCGAGUGAUCGAGUUCAACUCCAUGGCCUCGGACACUUCCUCCUCUCCGUCAACCAUACUCUUCGGGUGGUGAAACCCUUAAAAAAGAGACAAGGCUCUGAUACCAAUUGAAAGGGUCGAUAUGGCUGACUAGAGGGGGUUGAAUAGGAAACUACCAAUUUUUAUCCUUUCUUAACAAAUUAGGGCUAGCAACAAAUAGGUUGUCUAGAUAUGCAACUAGGUGAGCAACCUAUAUGAUGCUAACGACAACAACAACAACAAGCAGGCAAGCAAGGGAUACAACACAAGUAAAGCUUGCACAAAGUAAAGGUAAGAGAUAACCAAAAGUGGAACCGGAGGAGAUGAGAUGUGUUACCGAAGUUCCUUCCCUCCGUGAGGAAGUACGUCUCCAUUGGAGCGUGAUAACCCACAAGUAUAUGGGAUCACAACAGUUUUCGAGGGGAGAGUGUUCAACCCAAAUUAAUUGAUUCGACACAAGGGGAGCCACAACAACACCUAGAGAUUAAAUAUCUUAGCAAAGUGAUCAGUGGCACAAUAGUAUAGUAAUUUGAUAGCAGUAGCAAUGAUAGUAUCAGUAACAGUAACGGUAACAAUAGCAAUAAUAAUUUUGUAGCAGUUGUAAUAGUAGCAAUAGUAAUAAUAACACAGCAAGAACAAUAUGUGAAAAGCUCAUAGGCAUUGGAUCGGUGAUUUCGUUGGAUGAUACUCAUCAUAUAACAGUCAUAACCUAGGGUGACACAGAACUAGCUCCGGUUCAUCAAUAUAAUGUAGGAAUGUAUUCCGUAAAUAGUCAUACGUGCUUAUGGAAGAGAACUUGCAUGCCAUCUUUUGUCCUACCCUCCCAUGGCAGUGGGUGUCGGUGCCAAGACCAGCGGAUCUCGGGUAGGGGCCCCCGAACUGUGGAUCUGGGAUCGAUGGGAAACAAGGGACGCGGGACAUAGUAUUUACCUAGGUUCGGUCCCUCUCUAAGAGGUAAAACCCUACGUCCUACUUCAUUAUAUUGCUUGAGUAUAUGAGGAUUACAUAGUCGAUCUACCACGAGAUCAGAUGAACUAAACCCUAGGCUAGUAGGAUUAUGGAUGUUCUCUUAGCCCCUACGGACUAAACCCUCUGGUUUAUAUAGACACCAGGGAUACUAGGGUUUACAUAUAGUUGGUUACAUCAAAGGAACAAGGACGCCAAAUCUUCCAUCUUCGCUUGGGGUAUACGCAAAGUCACAAAAAGGUCUUUGGUUCGGAUAUAGUGCGGCCCAACUGUCGGGCCCAUGAGAGAUAGGGCGGCAACCUGAGGACCCCCUAGUCUAGGACUCCCUCAAUAGCCCCCGAACUAGCCUCCAAUGUCGGCUUCUUGUAAUGCUCACAUCUGCAGUCUCCUUCUUGCAAGCGAGUUCUUCCUGUGUAUUCAAAAUAAUCCUUCCUAGCCGAGCCUUUAGAGGGUAUCCAGCCCACGUGCAUAGUCAUGCCAUAUCUGGCAUCCGAACUAUCGAUUUUACUUAACCUUGAAGGCCAACCGUUAAAAUAUAUGCAGUACCUUCAACUGACAUUUUUCGGCAAAGGGUCACGGCCGAUUAUAAACAUCGAAACAUCAUGAGAACUCGAUGCACCGCUCGAGGCAGCCCCUCUAUUGGCACGUCCCAUCGAGGUGGAGAUCGUGUCCUGCUUUUCAAGGGAUUUAAUCAAUGAUUCCCAAUAUCACACUUGUGCAUAACACCACGAGUAUAUCAGGAAGUGGCGAGGCCGUUUAAAGGACUCUUGGUAUAAUGACCGCUUAUAAAAAGAGACCAGCCACAGUUAUCCCCUCACGCCUUCCUCUUCCUUUCGCCAUAGCCUUCAGCAAAGCUCUAGCGCCCCAGCUCAUCUUCCCUCAGAAGACCCCCCUUCUCCACACUCGACCAUGGCCGGAUCUGGAGUGUCGUGGAUUUGUCACGGCAGAUGCACUAGCAAAAGGACUUAGGUGUUGAGCCAUUGCAGCUAGGUUAGCUUAAAGGGGUUGAACGGGACAAGAGACACAGAGAGUUUACCCAGGUUUAGCCCUUCUCAAUGAGGUAAAAGCCUACUCCUGCUUUAGUUGUAUUGCUUGGGUUUCGAUUACCAGGGAGCGACUACGCUUGACCUAGUUCUCGAUCGAUUGUUUUUUGAGUUAACCCGCCGCCGGGUCACCCCUUUAUAUACAGGUUGAUGCCCGGCGGCUUACAGAUGUUGGGGAUCGUAGCAGAAUUUAAAAGUUUUCUAUGCGUCACCAAGAUCCAUAUAUGGAGUGUACUAGAAAUGAGGGGAAAGGAGUGCAUCUACAUACCCUUGUAGAUCGCGAGCGGAAGCGUUCCAAUGAACGAGGUUGAUGGAGUCGUACUCGCCGUGAUCCAAAUCACCGAUGACCGAGUGCCAAACGGACGGCACCUCUGCGUUCAACACACGUACGGAGCAGCGACGUCUCCUCCUUCUUGAUCCAGCAAGGGGGAAGGAGAGGUUGAUGGAGAUCCAGCAGCACGACGGCGUGGUGGUGGAAGUAGCGGGGUCUCGGCAGGGCUUCGCCAAGCUUCUGCGAGAGGGAGAGGUGUUGCAGGGGGAGAGGGAGGCGCCAGGGGCUGUCAUGCUGCUGCCCUCCCUCCCCCCACUAUAUAUAGGCCCCCUGGGAGGGGGGGCGCCGGCCUGGAUCCCAUCUGCAAGGGGGGGCGGCGGCCAGGGGGAAACUUACCCCCCAAGGCAAGUGGGGCGCCCCCCACCCUAGGGUUUCCAACCCUAGGCGCAGGGGGAGGCCCAUGGGGGGCGCCCCAGCCCACUAAGGGCUGGUUCCCUUCCCACUUCAGCCCAUGGGGCCCUCCGGGAUAGGUGGCCCCACCCGGUGGACCCCCGGGACCCUUCCGGUGGUCCCGGUACACUACCGGUGACCCCCGAAACUUUCCCGGUGGCCGAAACUUGACUUCCUAUAUAUAAUUCUUCACCUCCGGACCAUUCCGGAACUCCUCGUGACGUCCGGGAUCUCAUCCGGGACUCCGAACAACUUUCGGGUUUCCGCAUACUAAUAUCUCUACAACCCUAGCGUCACCGAACCUUAAGUGUGUAGACCCUACGGGUUCGGGAGACAUGCUGACAUGACCGAGACGCCUCUCCGGUCAAUAACCAACAGCGGGAUCUGGAUACCCAUGUUGGCUCCCACAUGUUCCACGAUGAUCUCAUCGGAUGAACCACGAUGUCAAGGAUUCAAUCAAUCCCGUAUACAAUUCCCUUUGUCAAUCGGUACGUUACUUGCCCGAGAUUCGAUCGUCGGUAUCCCAAUACCUUGUUCAAUCUCGUUACCGGCAAGUCACUUUACUCGUACCGUAAUGCAUGAUCCCGUGGCUAACUCCUUAGUCACAUUGAGCUCAUUAUGAUGAUGCAUUACCGAGUGGGCCCAGAGAUACCUCUCCGUCAUACGGGGUGACAAAUCCCAGUCUCGAUCCGUGCCAACUCAACAGACACUUUCGGAGAUACCCGUAGUGUACCUUUAUAGUGACCCAGUUACAUUGUGACGUUUGGCACACCCAAAGCACUCCUACGGUAUCCGGGAGUUGCACGAUCUCAUGGUCUAAGGAAAUGAUACUUGACAUUGGAAAAGCUCUAGCAAACGAACUACACGAUCUUUUGUGCUAUGCUUAGGAUUGGGUCUUGUCCAUCACAUCAUUCUCCUAAUGAUGUGAUCCCGUUAUCAACGACAUCCAAUGUCCAUGGUCAGGAAACCGUAACCAUCUAUUGAUCAACGAGCUAGUCAACUAGAGGCUUACUAGGGACAUGGUGUUGUCUAUGUAUCCACACAUGUAUCUGAGUUUCCUAUCAAUACAAUUCUAGCAUGGAUAAUAAACGAUUAUCAUGAACAAGGAAAUAUAAUAAUAACCAAUUUAUUAUUGCCUCUAGGGCAUAUUUCCAACAGUCUCCCACUUGCACUAGAGUCAAUAAUCUAGUUCACAUCACCAUGUGAUUAACACUCACAGGUCACAUCACCAUGUGACCAACAUCCAAAGAGUUUACUAGAGUCAACAAUCUAGUUCACAUCACUAUGUGAUUAACACUCAAUGAGUUCUGGUUUGAUCAUGUUAUGCUUGUGAGAGAGGUUAUUAGUCGACGGGUCUGAACCUUUCAGAUGCGUGUGUGGUUUACGAAUAUCUAUGUCAUCUUGUGGAUGCUACCACGUGCUACUUGGAGCCAUUUCAAAUAACUGCUCUACUAUACGAACUCGGUUUACUACUCAGAGUCAUCCAGAUUAGUGUCAAAGUUCGCAUCGACGUAACCCUUUAUGACGAACUCCUUUUCACCUCCAUAAUCGAGAAAAUUCCUUAGUCCACUAGAUACUAAGGAUAAGUUCGACCGCUGUCAUGUGAUCCAUUCCCGGAUCACCAUUGUACCCCUUGACCAACUCAUGGCAAGGCACACUUCAUGUGCGGUACACAACAUAGCAUACUGUAGAGUCUACGUCUAAAGCAUAGGGGACAACCUUCGUCUUUUCUCUCUCUUCUGCUGUGGUCGGGUCUUGAGUCUUACUCAAUACUCACACCUUGCAACACAGCCAAGAACUCCUUCUUUGCUGAUCUAUUUUGAACUCUUUCAAAAUCAUGUCAAGGUGUGCGUUCUUUGAAAGUAUCAUCAGACGUCUUGAUCUAUCUCUAUAGAUCUUGAUGACCAAUAUGUAAGCAGCUUUAUCCAGGUCUUCCUUUGAAAAACUCCUUUCAAACAACCCUUUAUGCUUUCCAGAAAUUUUUACAUCAUUUCGGAUCAACAAUAUGUCAUUCACAUAUACUUAUCAGAAAUGUUGUAGUGCUCCCACUCACUUUAUUGUAGAUACAAGUUUCUAACAAACUUUGUACAAACCCAAAAACUUUGAUCACUCCAUCAAAGCGUAUAUUCUGACUCUGAGAUGCUUGCUCUAGUCCAUGGAAGGAUCGCUGGAGCUAGCAUACCUUUUAGCAUCCUUAGGAUCGACAAAACCUUUCUGAUUGUAUCACAUACAACCUUUCCUUACGAAAACUGGUAAGGAAACUUGUUUUGACAUCCAUCUGCCAGAUUUCAUAAAUGCAGCUAAUGCUAACAUGAUUCCGACGGACUUAAGCAUCGCUACGGAUGAGAAAAUAUCAUCGUAGUCAACUCCUUGAACUUGUGAAAAUACUCUUUGCCAUAGAUCGAGCUUCAUAGACGGUAACAUUACCGUCCAUGUCCUUCUUAAAGAUCCAUUUAUCUCAAUGGCUUGCCGAUCAUCGGGCAAGUUCACCAAAGUCCAUGCUUUGUUCUGAUACAUGGAUCCUAUCUCGGAUUUCAUGGUUUCUAACCAUUUGUCGGAAUAUGGGCCCACCAUCGCUUCUCCAUAGCUCGUAGGUUCAUUGUUGUCCAACAACAUGACUUCCAAGACAGGAUUACCGUACCACUCAGGAGUAGUACAUAUCCUUGUCGACCUACGAGGUUUGGUAGUGACUUGAUCCGAAGUUUCAUGAUCACUAUCAUAAGCUUCCACUUCAAUUGGUGUAGGUGCCACAGGAACAACUUCCUGUGCCCUGCUACACACUAGUUGAAGUUAUGGUUCAAUAACCUCAUCAAGUCUCCACCAUCCUCCCACUCAAUUCUUUCGAGAGAAACUUUUCCUCGAGAAAGGACUCGUUUCUAGAAGCAAUUACUUUUGCUUCCAGAUCUGAAAUAGGAGGUAUACCCAACUGUUUUGGGUAUUCUAUGAAGAUGCAUUUAUCCGCUUUGGGUUCGAGCUUAUCAGCCUGAAACUUUUUCACAUAAGCAUCGCAGCCCCAAACUUUUAAGAAACGACAACUUAGGUUUCUCUAAACGGUGUCGUCUCAACGGAAUUGCGUGGUGCCCUAUUCAAAGUGAAUGCGGUUGUCUCUAAUGCCUAACCCAUAAACGAUAGUUGUAAUUCGAUAAGAGACAUCAUGGUAUGCACCAUAUCCAAUAGGGUGCAGUUAUGAUGUUCGGACACACCAUCACACUGUGGUGUUCCAGGCGGUAUUAAUUGUGAAACACUUUCCACAAUGUCUUAAUUGUGUGCCAAACUCGUAACUCAGAUAUCUCUAUGAUCAUAUCAUAGACAUUUUAUCCUCUUGUCACGAUGAUCUUCAACUUCACUCUGAAAUUACUUGAACCUUUCAAUAAUUCAGACUUGUGUUUCAUCAAGUAAAUAUUCUCAGCAUCUACUCAAAUCAUCUGUGAAGUAAGAACAUAACGAUAUCCACUGCAUGCCUCAGCACUCAUUGGACUGCAUACAUCAAAAUGUAUUACUUCCAAUAAGUUGCUCUCUUGUUCCAUCUUACUGAAAACGAGGCCUUUCAGUCAUCUUGCCCAUGUGGUAUGAUUUGCAUGUCUCAAGUGAUUCAAAAUCAAGUGAGUACAAACGAUCCAUUUGCAUGGAGUUUCUUCAUGCAUAUAUACCAAUAGACAUGGUUCGCAUGUCUCAAUCUUUUCAAAAACGAGUGAGUCCAAAGAUCCAUUUACAUGGAGCUUCUUCAUGCGUUCUAUACCAAUAUGACUCAAAUGGCAGUGCCACAAGUAUGUGGAACUAUCAUUACUAUUUUAUAUCUUUUGGCACGAACAUGUGUAUCACUACGAUCGAGAAUCAUUUUAGGUGCAAGACCAUUGAAGGUAUUAUUCAAAUAAACAGAGUAACCAUUAUUCUCCUUAAAUGAAUAACCGUAUUGCGAUAAACAUAAUCCAAUCAUGCUCAACGCAAACACCAAAUCUCGAUGGUAGAGGGAGCAUGUGAUGCUUGAUCACAUCAACCUUGGAAACACUUCCAACACACAUCGUCAUCUCACCUUUAGCUAGUCUCCAUUUAUUCCGCAACUUUUAUUUCGAGUUACUAGCACUUAGCAACCGAACCGGUAUCUAAUACCCUGGUGCUGCUAGGAGUACUAGUAAAGUACACAUUCAUACAAUGUAUAUCCAAUAUACUUCUGUCGACCUUGCCUGCCUUCUUAUCUACCAAGUAUCUAGGGUAGUUCCGCUUCAGUGACCGUUCCCCUCAUUACAGAAGCACUUAGUCUCGGGUUUGGGUUCAACCUUGGGAUUCUUCGCUAGAGCAGCAAAUGAUUUGCUGUUUCAUGAAGUAUCCCUUCUUACCCUUGCCCUUCUAGAAACUAGUGGUUUUACUAACCAUCAACAAUUGAUGCUCCUUCUUGAUUUCUACUUUCGCGGUGUCAAACAUCGCGAGUUGCUCAAGGAUCAUCAUAUCUAUCCCUGAUAUGUUACAGUUCAUCACGAAGCUCUAAUAGCUUGGUGGCAGUGACUAUGGAGAACCAUCACUAUCUCAUCUGGAAGAUUAACUCCCACUCGAUUCAAGCGAUUGUGGUACUCAGACAAUCUGAGCACAUGCUCAACGAUUGAGCUUUUCUCCCUCAAUUUGUAGGCUUAAGAAACUUGUCAGAGGUCUCAUACCUCUUGACGUGGGCACUAGUCCGAAAUCCCAAUUUCAGUCUUCGGAACAUCUCAUAUGUUCUGCGACGUUUCAAAAACCGUCUUUGGUGCCACAAUUCUAAACCGUUAGCAUUACGCACUGAACUAUCACGUAGUCAUCAAAACGUGUAUGUCAGAUGUUUCGCAACAUCUAUAGACGACGCUGCGGUUCAGCACACCGAGCGGUGCAUAAGGACAUAAGCCUUCUGUGUAGCAAUGAGGACAAUCCUCAGUUUACGGACCCAGUCCGCAUAAUUGCUACUACCAACUUUCAACUAAAUUUUCUCUAGGAACAUAUCUUAACCAGUAGAACUAAAGCGCAAGUUAUGACAUAAUUUGCAAAGACCUUCUGACUAUGUUCAUGAUAAUUAAGUUCAUCUGAUUAAUGAACUCCCACUCAGAUAGACAUCCCUCUAGUCAUCUAAGUGAUACAUGAUCCGAGUCAAACUAGGCCGUGUCCGAUCAUCACGUGAGACGGACUAGUCAUCAUCGGUGAACAUCUCCAUGUUGAUCGUAUCUACUAUACGACUCAUGUUCGACCUUUCGAUCUCUUGUGUUCCGAGGCCAUGUCUGUACAUGCUAGGCUCGUUAAGUCAACCUAAGUGUUUCGCAUGUGUUCCGAGGCCAUGUCUGUACAUGCUAGGCUCGUCAACACCCGUUGUAUUCGAACGUUAGAAUCUAUCACACCCGAUCAUCACGUGGUGCUUCGAAACAACGAACCUUCGCAACGGUGCACAGUUAGGGGGAACACUUUCUUGAAAUUAUUAUAAGGGAUCAUCUUACUUACUACAGUCGUUCUAAGCAAAUAAGAUGCAUAACAUGAUAAACAUCACAUGCAAUCAAAUAGUGACAUGAUAUGGCCAAUAUCAUUUUGCUCCUUUGAUCUCCAUCUUCGGGGCGUCAUGAUCAUCUUUGUCACCGGCAUGACACCAUGAUCUCCAUCAUCAUGAUCUCCAUCAUUGUGUCUUCAUGAAGUUGUCACGCCAACGAUUACUUCUACUUCUAUGGCUAACGCGUUUAGCAAUAAAGUAAAGUAAUUUACAUGGCGUUCUUCAAUGACACGCAGGUCAUACAAUAAAUUAAGACAACUCCUAUGGCUCCUGCCGGUUGUCAUUCUCAUCGACAUGCAAGUCGUGAUUCCUAUUACAAGAACAUGAUCAAUCUCAUACAUCACAUAUAUCAUUCAUCACAUCCUUUUUGGCCAUAUCACAUCACAAGGCACAUGCUGCAAAAACAAGUUAGACGUCCUCUAAUUGUUGUUGCAAGUUUUUACGUGGCUUGUAUAGGUUUUUUAGCAAGAACGUUUCUUACCUACGUAAAACCACAAUGUGAUAUGCCAAUUUCUAUUUACCCUUCAUAAGGACCCUUUUCAUCGAAUCCGUUCCGACUAAAGUGGGAGAGACAUACACCCGCUAGCCACCUUAUGCAACUAGUGCAUGUCAGUCGGUGGAACCUGUCUCACGUAAGAGUACGUGUAAGGUCGGUCCGGGCCGCUUCAUCCCACAAUACCGCCGAAGCAAGAUAAGACUAGUAGCGGCAAGAAGAAUUGGCAACAUCUACGCCCACAACUGCUUUGUGUUCUACUCGUGCAUAGUAACUACGCAUAGACCUGGCUCAUGAUGCCACUGUUGGGGAUCGUCGCAGAAUUUAAAAAAUUUCUAUGCAUCACCAAGAUCCAUCUAUGAAGUGUACUAGCAACGAGGGGAAAGGAGUGCAUAUACAUACCCUUGUAGAUCGCGAGCGAAAGCGUUCCAAUGAACGAGGUUGAUGGAGUCGUACUUGCCGUGAUCCAAAUCACCGAUGACCAAGUGCCGAACGGACGGCACCUCCGCGUUCAACACACGUACGGAGCAACGACGUCUCCUCCUUCUUGAUCCAGCAAGGGGGAAGGAGAGGUUGAUGGAGAUCCAGCAGCACGACGGCGUGGUGGUGGAAGUAGCGGGGUCUCGGCAGGGCUUCGCCAAGCUUCUGCGAGAGGGAGAGGUGUUGCAGGGGGAGAGGGAGGCGCCAGGGGCUGUCAUGCUGCUGCCCUCCCUCCCCCCCACUAUAUAUAGGCCCCCUGGGAGGGGGGGUGCCGGCCUGGAUCCCAUCUGCAAGGGGGGGGGGCGGCGGCCAGGGGGAAACUUACCCCCAAGGCAAGUAGGGCGCCCCCCCACCCUAGGGUUUCCAACCCUAGGCGCAGGGGGAGGCCCAUGGGGGGCGCCCCAGCCCACUAAGGGCUGGUUCCCUUCCCACUUCAGCCCAUGGGGCCCUCCGGGAUAGGUGGCCCCACCCGGUGGACCCCCGGGACCCUUCCGGUGGUCCCGGUACACUACCGGUGACCCCCGAAACUUUCCCGAUGGCCGAAACUUGACUUCCUAUAUAUAAUUCUUCACCUCCGGACCAUUCCGGAACUCCUCGUGACGUCCGGGAUCUCAUCCGGGACUCCAAACAACUUUCGGGUUUCCGCAUACUAAUAUCUCUACAACCCUAGCGUCACCGAACCUUAAGUGUGUAGACCCUACGGGUUCGGGAGACAUGCAGACAUGACCGAGACGCCUCUCCGGUCAAUAACCAACAGCGGGAUCUGGAUACCCAUGUUGGCUCCCACAUGUUCCACGAUGAUCUCAUCGGAUGAACCACGAUGUCAAGGAUUCAAUCAAUCCCGUAUACAAUUCCCUUUGUCAAUCGGUACGUUACUUGCCCGAGAUUCGAUCGUCGGUAUCCCAAUACCUUGUUCAAUCUCGUUACCGGCAAGUCACUUUACUCAUACCGUAAUGCAUGAUCCCGUGGAUAACUCCUUAGUCACAUUGAGCUCAUUAUGAUGAUGCAUUACCGAGUGGGCCCAGAGAUACCUCUCCGUCAUACGGGGUGACAAAUCCCAGUCUCGAUCCAUGCCAACUCAACAGACACUUUCGGAGAUACCCGUAGUGUACCUUUAUAGUGACCCAGUUACGUUGUGACGUUUGGCACACCCAAAGCACUCCUACGGUAUCCGGGAGUUGCACGAUCUCAUGGUCUAAGGAAAUGAUACUUGACAUUGGAAAAGCUCUAGCAAACGAACUACACGAUCUUUUGUGCUAUGCUUAGGAUUGGGUCUUGUCCAUCACAUCAUUCUCCUAAUGAUGUGAUCCCGUUAUCAACGACAUCCAAUGUCCAUGGUCAGGAAACCGUAACCAUCUAUUGAUCAACGAGCUAGUCAACUAGAGGCUUACUAGGGACAUGGUGUUGUCUAUGUAUCCACACAUGUAUCUGAGUUUCCUAUCAAUACAAUUCUAGCAUGGAUAAUAAACGAUUAUCAUGAACAAGGAAAUAUAAUAAUAACCAAUUUAUUAUUGCCUCUAGGGCAUAUUUCCAACAACAGAGUCCCGACCGGCUCACACAAACGUGACAGGCUCGGUUUCUAACUAAGCUUGCCUUAUAGAACAAGUCAUCAGCUAUCGGUACACUCCUCCGUGCCUUGAGUCGCCUCCAAGUCCUGGGCCUUCAAUAGGCUUGCUCUAUAAACCGCCACCUUCAUAUCUUCUUGGACCUUAUCGGGCCUCUUCAUCUUUAAGUCGCCAAUGGUAUGACCCGGCCCCUCCUGGGCGGGUCAUACCUAGUAGCUAUAUCCCCAACAUUAGGCCUGAGGUUGAUUUGAACUUGUUCACAUCAAUCUUCACCACUUGACUUAGCAGAAUCUUCCAUUAUCAAUCCAGUGUAACCCGCCAUGACGUCACAUUAUAGAAUCGUGGUAACCCGCCAUGACAUCAUGUGCAUUAAUUUUGCACAAAGACCAGAACAUCUCUACAGAUCUUUAUCUUAAUAGACUUCCUGGAAAUCGAGGCGUCCAUAUAGCCACAUAAUCAUUUUCAGCCUCCUUGAUUCCCGAGCAUGCCGUCUAAUCUCCUCGUUAUAAAUAGGGGCAGGGGGCCCUUCUUUUCACUUUUUACACCCGUCCUGACAUCUUCUUCCUCCUCGCGACUCCGCUGCAACCGAGCACCGCCGCCGCCGUCAUUCAUCAACAACACCAACUCCGGCCGCUACAUCGACCUGAACAGACCAGAAAACUGCGGGGGACCUCCGCUGUUCAUCAGCAUCAGUAAGCACUCACCUUUCCUCAUAGCAGAUCUGCAUUAGGGUUUCCGCCGUUCGUCGGUGUUCUUCACCGUUCUUCACUUUCCUCUUUAGAACGCAUAGUUUGAUUUGAACACGACACUGACGCUGUGUGGUAGCAGUUUUAGCAUCCCUUUCCAAUCGCAAAAGAUACCCUUUCUGUACAAGAUCCCAUCUGAGCACAUGAGUUCUUCCACUGCCGCAACCUUAGGUUUAAGAUUUAUUUUAUUUUUUGAACUGCCGUAGAUCCAAAAUCAUAGAUCCGAUCUGUGGAAUCUGUUUGUUCACAACUUAGCAAAAUUUCACUCAUAGGUCUACAGAUACUUGUGAACUGCAGCCGUACAGGCGGCUUAUAUGAUAGGCCAUAACCCGCCAGACACCAUUAGUCCCACUUUAAGCCGCCAAUAUAUGUUCAAAAUCUGUAUAACCUGGCAUUGUCUUCCGGUUUAAUCAUGCCAACCUUUAUAGCACGUCUUCUCUGUGUACAAAUUAGCCUUGUACAAUGCACUUACUUUUUAAUCACUGGGCGGCUUAAUCAGCAUAACCUUAAACCGGCAAUACUUUCCUUUCUAGGCUUUUUCAUCAACAAAAUGACCAAGACCGUUACUUCAUGCAACUGGGUCGCCUCCCGGGUCACAGAACAAACACUGAAUGAGUAUAUCCAAGUGGGUGCCUUAGCUGCAAAAAAUGUUAUCCACUAGAGAGUCCCAGGAGCAGAAACCACCCCUAACUCACAAGAAGGCGAAGUCAUAGUUUUUAUUGAACAUAUGCACCCGGCUCAAAAUUCCUUCAUGAUGUGCUGCAUUUCUUCCAACUUCAUCCUCAAGAUAUCGGGCCCAACUCUGUUUCAAAUAUUUGCAACUUUCAAGUUUUCUGCAAAGUAUACCUUCAACAAGAGCCCAUUGUAGAAUUGUUCAGGGAAUUCUAUUACUUGAACCGCCAGACCGAGUUCACAGAUGGGCCCAGCCUAGAACUAGGUGGCAUUUCAAUUCAGAGGUGGAAAGAAGCUACUUUCCCUGCCGUCGCACUUCCCAGUCAUCCUAAGGACUGGAACCAGACCUGGUUUUAUUGCAAAGACACAUCUCCAGAAGGUGAAAAUCCUCUGCCGGGUUACCAUGAAAACCGGCUUAGCAACAGGCACCCUCUCCCAGAACGGAUCAACACAAAAGAGCAGGCCAAAUAUAUGCCCAUUUUUUCAAAGAUCGGAGCCUUAAUGGCCAAUGGUUUGACUGGAAUUGAUCUAGUUCGAUGCUGGGUCGCAUGGAGAAUCUUACCCUUAAGCCGCCGGCCCGGCUUAAUGUGUGAGUAUACUGGCGAUGUCAAAGAUCCCCAGCGCCACUGCCAAAUAGAACUGGAUGAUGACGAGAUCAAUAGGAUGAGCAAGACACUGCUUAACGAGAGCUUGGAAACUUGCAGCAAAACAGGCUUGAAUCCUUUCUGCACCCUUAACAAAGCUCCAGUUGUAAGUGUUUUGAACAACUGGCAACUUAUUCAUUAUUUACUUAAACUAUCUUCUCAUUAUCACUUGACUUCUGCAGGCUGAUUCCUCCUUUUGGAACAAGAAACUCCAGGACAAGCCGGCCAAAAAGGCUAGAGAUAAGACGAAAGCUGUCAGGAAACCUGCUAAGAAGAAAACAAACACCUCAGAGUUGUUUUCUUUGAAUGAUGAUGAGUCAAAGGUAGAUCUUGACUCCCUUGGCUCCUAUUUCAUUCAUCUUAUUGACAUUGAUUGUUAUCAGGACAACGUGGAGGCCAGCAACACGGACGGUGAAGAGGUAAAUAUCCUUUCCUCUGACUCAGAGCCUUUGCCAAGACAGAGAGUUCGACAAGUGAGCCGGAAAGUAAGGUUUUCUCGCCCUUUAGCUUACUUGGACCCAAACUUUAUUUUGAAGAAAAAACAACAUGAAGCUCGGCGCACAACCCGGAAUAGUGGAGGUGGAGAACUUUCCUCCAGUUUACCCAACACACCGCCCCCUCGCAAACAUCGGAAAGAGGUGCCUCAAAAUUCAAUCCCUUUUUACCCAAAGGCGGGUCUUAUUCGCCAACCACUUAAUCCUUCCGACUCAAAUUAUUAGGGAACUUCUCAUUCCUCUUCUGGAGACUCAUCACAAACCCAAAUGCCUGCCUUCAAAGUUGCCCCUGGGUAAUAACAUUUUACUUUGCCAUUUUAACAGUUGUGAACUGAUAUACUUAUACCAUCAUCAUUCUUAUGUUUCCAGUGGUAUAGCAAAGUCGAGCAAGAAAUUGAAGCCAAAUAAGCCAGCCGAAGACCCCAAAGUCCAUGAACCGGAAGAGCAGACAGUGUCUGAAUCUUUGCAUCAAACUUCUAAUGAUCCGCCGCUAGAAGUGCAAUGGAUUCCAUGGAUGUUAACCUAGCUAAUGCUAAGCCGCCAAGUCCCAUUAAGCCUGCUGAAGAAAAGGCUGAAGAUGCUAUUAUCACCGGGGUUGGCUAUGUAGAGCCGGGCAACCCCACUGUCUUAGCAAAACAUAGCGCCAAGGAAGAAUUUUGAGCUACUGACAAGGGCAAAUGGAAGAUGGACUUGGAAAGUUAUGCCCAGUUUAACGCUCAUGAGAUUCACGCGGGUUACCUAAACCGCCUUCAUACCAGCCGUGACUUUGAAGCCGGCCUAGUCAAACUGAUGAAGGAGCGCUUUGAGGUAAAUACUCAAAAUUCUUCUCAUAUAGAUAUCUGUCAGCCGCCAAAUCUACUGAAUGUGAAAGAAUUGAACAUGUUGUAGACUUAAAUAGGAUCUUUGACCUUGUAGCUAUUCCAUAGCAAUUUAACUUUGCUGAAUCAAAACGAGUAGUCCCCAAGGGCCGGCUUAAACUGGAUUGUUAAGCUGGGACUUAAGAUUAUAAGGCAAAAAUCCGCAUAUGUAGCCACCAUGGGCCGGUUUAAAUUAAAAAAAAAUAACCGGGUCAUCAAGUAUGCAAAAAACAUGACCUACAUUAGCCCCCAAGUGCUAAGUGAAAUACUUGUAUUAUGCUUGGUACUUUAAUAAGAUGAUUAUCAUAACCAUUCCUUUGUUUUGCAGGCUGAAUUAAGUAUGAAAGAAUCCCAAGUAGUGGAUCUGCGGCAGAACAUCCAAGCACAACAAUCUGAAACUUCCAAGGCCAAAUCAGAAUUCAAAACCAUUUUGGAAGAAACUGAGAAGCUGAAAAAGGAUUUCAAUGCUGAAAGGAUCAGCUGGGAUAAUGAAAAGGCGGCUCUAUUGAAAAGAGCUGAAGAGGCUGAGGCUGCUCUUAAGCCGGUGACUGAAGAGUUAUCCAGCUUGAAGCAUCAGAUUAAUAGCAUGAUAGCUGCCAUCUUUGGUAAGUAAUAUUGUACUUCAACCUUUCACCAGCAACAUAUAAUAACCAUCAACCGAUUUAUCAAUAUCUUUAUCAAUGCAGGCCCCAAAAGUUCUAACCUUGGUCAAGACAUGCGUGUGGAACUUAAAGCUGCAUAUUCCCUUGUGGAACAGUUAUACACCGGUGCUCAACGGGCUAUAUCUGCUAUCUCGCAUAAAAAGCAAUCACCUUCGCUCAUCAGGGAAGUGCUGGAUAAACUAUCUGUAGUGCCUCAAAGAGUUGAAGACCUAAAGCGAUCAGCCGCCAGAGCCGGUGCCAUCACCGCGCUGAGCCGGGCAAAGGCAUGGCAAGAAGAACUGGACCCAGAAGAGUUGGCCACCGGCUGCCCGAGCCAGAAAGAGGACGGAUCUCCCUUCACGACAGCAGAUUUCGCCAAGUGUGUAAGGGAAAUGCGCCCUUUCGCAAGCAAGCUGGCUGAGGAGACUGACUUGUCAAAAUAUCACGCAGCUUACUCCCAAGAAAACUCAAAAGUAUUAGCGCCGGUUCAUGAUGCCGUGAAUCUUAUCCCACCAACACGUAAGCACAACUACGCUCCUGAUAUUGAUCCGUCGACCAUUAUAGAUGAUGAAGCUGUAUUUAGAGCUUUGACUAUCAUCAACUGGACCAAAUCUGACUUCCAGCCAAUGGGUAAAGAAGAGGAAGAACUGGUGCAAGAUGACCCGGAGUCUUCAACACGCCAAGCCCAAAACAAUUGACUCAAGGGGCGGCUCUUAAACUGCAACAUAAUGCUUUUCUCUGGAAAACAAUCAAUUUGGGCCUUGGAGAGCCUUGUAAUAGGCUAGUUUGGAAACCACGAUCUGCCAUGCCAUCAUGCAUGUUUUUGCCUUCAAACUGCUGAUGCAUUUUCUACGUGCCUUUGAUAAGUUUGCAAGGAAGAUUAUACUAUUUUGCAAUGUUCCUGCACACAUAAUAAACAACAUAUGCCCUGGUGGUUUAUACCAAGGUGGGUCACAAUGCCCAACAAAAUGUUAUCUGGCGACUUUAAAGUCUAUAACCAGGGCGGGUCAUCAAACCUUGCAUAUUCAUUUAACAAGUAAAAAACAUACCCGCGAAAUUGGUUCAUACUGCCGGCUUACAUCGCCAUAUCCAGUAAAGGUGGUAGCCCAAAGACUUAUAGAGCAUAACUCGAUUGCGCAAUCAAAGUAUACUGGCAACUUAGCGUCCAAAGCUAGGACGGGUUAUCAAAACCCCAGAUAUGCUCAAAUAUGAGUCAUAAAUAUUAAGGCUAUAUGGCCUUAAUUGUUUUGAACCAUAUGUUAAUAUGGAACAAGGACAUGAAUCCAAACAAUGUUCAGAGAAAAUAACAAAUCAGAAAAAAUAAGGCUUUCAUAGGCCUCCAAGCCAAAAUUUCAUGUGCUUUCAUGGGCCGCACAACCACUAAGUCAAUCCUUUAUUCAAACCCGUAAGCCGGCCCUCACAUGACCAACCGUUGUUUUAACCUCGACAAGUUAAGGGUCUUUAUUACAAGAUUGAUUGUUGAGAGUACAGCGGGUCAUUCCAGGAUUACCUGGGCGGAGUGACAAGGACAUACAGACAGGAUAACCCAGAAUUUGGUGUUUACACCUGGCAUACAAGCCGAUCAAGAGGGUAAGUAUAGCUAUGUUCACUGAACAGGAAGCCCCCAAGUGACCCUAUAAUGAGCCCUCAAGGCAGGAUACCUAUGUUUGAACUGCGCAUUGCAGCAAGUUCUCUUUGGUAACCUUGGGCAGGAAGCUCUCAAAUAAUUUGCAACAAGGUGUGUAAGCCGGAUCAAGAGGGUAGUCACAGCUAUGCUCGGUGAGCAGAAAGCCCCCAAGUAAUUUGUAACAAGGCGUUGAAGCCGGAUCAAGAGGGUAGUCACAACUAUGCUCAGUGAGUAGGAAGCCCCCAAGAGGUCUUAUGAACUGAUAAUAAAGACUCAGAUACUCAGAAAUGAAAUGGUAGAGGCCCUGAAUUAUCAGGGAUGCCGAUUUUAUUAUAUUAGUCAUAAUAUAUACAUUGACAAAAGUAUGUACAACACAAGAGCCGGUGGCUAAAGUGUAAUAAGGCCGAAGAUGAGCAAUGUUCCAAGGCGGGCGGGUCUCCUCCUCCGAUGUGCCUGAGUCCUUGUUUUCUCGAAUAUCAAUGAGGUAGUACAACCCGUUGUUCAGAUUUUAACUGACCACAAAAGGUCCUUCCCAAGGUGGGGAUAACUUGUGCAUAUCUGUUUGAUCCUGGAUAAGCCGGAGCACCAAGUCACCUUCUUGAAAGGUCCGGGUUUUAACCCGACGACUAUGAUAAUAAUGCAGAUCUUGCUGAUAAAUCGCCGAACGAGCCGUCGAAAGGUCACGCUCCUCAUCUAGGAGGUCAAGAUCAUCCUGACGUGUUGUUUCGUUAUCAGCUUCAACAUAAGCCGCCAUACGGGGCGAGUCGUGACGGAUGUCACUGGGAAGAACCGCCUCUACUCCAUAAACCAUGAAGAAAGGCAUAUAACCCGUGGAUCUGUUGGGGUAGUAUUGAUACUCGAGAGCACCGAGGGUAACUCCUCAACCCAACAACCCGGCGUCCUCUGCAAAGGGACCAUAAGCUGGGGUUUUAUACCUCUUCAGAUUUCUUGAUUGGCCCGUUUGGCUUGACCAUUGGACUGGGGGCGGGCCACUAAUGAAACGUCAAGAUGAAUAUGAUCUCAUUGACAGAAUUCUUUCAUAGAACCUCAGAUAGAUUAGUACCAUUUUCAGUGAUGAUGCUAUGAGAGUAACCAAAAUAGAAAAUCACCUUUUUAAUGAAUUGAACCGCCGUUGCCGCAUUACACUUGCUGACCGGCUCUGCCUCAACCCACUUUGUAAAUUUGUCAACCGCCACCAAAAGGUGAGUCUUUUUGUUCUUCGAUCUCUUGAAAGGUCCAACCAUAUCCAGCCCCCAAACUGCAAACGUACAAGUGAUUGGAAUCAUCCUUAAUUCUUGAGCUGGCACAUGAGCUCGUCUCGAAAAUUUCUAACAGCCAUCACACUUGCUAACCAGAUCUUCUGCAUCAACAUGAGCCGUCAGCCAAUAAAACCCAUGACGAAAAGCCUUAGCCACGAGAGACUUAGAGCCGACAUGAUGGCCACAAUCUCCUUCAUGAAUCUCUCUUAAAAUCUCACGGCCCUCCUCAGGAGAAAUACAGUGUUGAAACACCCCUGUGACACUGCAUCGGUGUAACUCGCCAUUAACAAUGGUCAUUGACUUAGACCGCCUGGUUAUUUGCCUGGCCAAGUUUCAUCCUCAGGUAACUCACCUCGGGUCAUAUAAGUCAAAUAUGGAACUGUCCAAUCAGGAAUAGCAUGAAGAGCCGCCACCAAUUGUGCCUCCGGGUCAGGGAUAGCAAGAUCUUCUCCCAUAGGCAGUUUAUCUGAAGGAUUAUUCAGAAUAUCAAGAAAGACAUUAGGUGGUACCGGCUUACGCUGAGACCCCAACCGGCUUAAAGUAUCAGCUGCCUCAUUUUUCCUGCGAUCAACAUGUUCCACUUGAUAACCUUUGAAAUGACCAGCAAUACCAUCAACCACCCGGCGAUAAGCCGCCAUGAGUGGGUCUUUGGAAUCCUAAGUUCCUGAGACUUGCUGAGCCACCAGAUCUGAAUCGCCAAAACACCUGACCCGGCUUAGAUUCAUCUCUUUGGCCAUCCGAAGACCAUGGAGCAAGGCCUCAUAUUCAGCUGCAUUGUUAGUACAAGGAAACAUCAACCUUAAGACAUAGCAAAACUCAUCACCUCGUGGGGAAGUCAAAAUAACUCCAGCCCCCGAGCCUUCCAACUGCCUGGAUCCAUCAAAAUGAAUAGUCCAAUAUGUAUUAUCCAGCUUUUCCUCAGACAUUUGCAACUCUGUCCAGUCAUUGAUGAAACCCACAAGUGCUUGAGACUUGAUGGUUGUCCUAGGCGUAUACUUCAAACCAUGAGGUCCAAGCUCAAUGGCCCACUUGGCCACCAGGCCUGUAGCUUCCCUGUUUUGAAUAAUAUCCCCCAGAGGAGUAGAACUGACCACAGUAAUAGGAUGACCCUGGAAAUAAUGCCUCAACUUGCGACUGGCCAUGAACACUCCAUAAACCAGCUUCUGCCAAUGUGGGCACCUCUGCUUAGAUUCAAUUAAUACCUCACUGACAUAGUAAACCGGCCUUUGAACCGGAUAUUCCUUGCCUGAUUCCUUCCUUUCCACAACAACCGCCACGCUGACAGCCCUGCUGUUAGCAGCCACAUAUAAAAGCAAGGGCUCCUUGUCAAUAGGAGCUGCAAGAACCGGCAGCUCAGCCAACUGUUUUUAAGCGCUUCGAACGCCUGAUUGGCAGCAUCACUCCAAACAAAGUGAUCUAUUUUCUUCAUCAUCUGGUAAGAGGGAUAGCCUUUGCUCCCAGGCGGCUUAUAAACCUGCUUAAAGCCGCAAUAUGACCCGCCAAACGCUGGACGUCGUUAAUACAUGCCGGUUUAGCCAAAGAAGUUAUAGCCUUAAUUUUCUCCGGGUUAGCUUCAAUACCUCUCUCAGAGACCAAAAAACCCAAAAGCUUGCCUGCUGGCAUACCAAAGACACAUUUGUCCGGGUUAAGCAUAACUUGUAGACCCGGAGAUUGUCAAAGGUCUCCUUCAAAUCAUCUAACAAGGUCUCCUUCUUCCUGGAAUUCACAAUGAUAUCAUCCACAUAAGCAUGAACAUCGCGUCCAAUCUGGCUGUGGAGACAAUUCUGAACACAACGCUGAUAAGUCGCCUGGGCACUCUUGAGCCCAAAAGGCAUAGACACAUAGCAGAAGGCUCCGAAGGGAGUGAUGAAAGAUGUCUUCUCCUGGUCUUUAACUGCCAUCUUGAUCUGAUGAUAACCAGAAUAAGCAUCUAAAAAACUCAAGCACUCACAACCCGCCGUAGCAUCAAUGAUCUGAUCAAUACGAGGGAGAGCAAAAGGAUCAGCCGGACAGGCCUUGUUAAGGUCCGUGUAAUCUACACACAUGCGCCAAGUGUCGUUUUUCUUAAGUACCAACACCGAGUUAGCCAACCAUUUAGGAUGAAAAACUUCAACAAUAAACCCGGCCGCCAAGAGCCGAGCCACCUCUUCACCAAUGGCCUUGCACCUCUCUUCAUUAAAACGACGAAGGAAUUGCUUGACCGGUUUAAACUUUGGAUCAACAUUGAGAGUGUGCUCAGCAAGUUCCCUCGGUACACCUAGCAUGUCGGAAGGCUUCCAUGCAAAGAUUUCCCCGUUCUCACGGAUAAACUCGAUGAGCGCGUUUUCCUAUUUUGGAUCCAUGUUGGCACUGAUACUGAACUGUUUGGAUGAAUCACCAGGAACAAAAUCGACCUGCUUGGUGUCAUCUGCUGAUUUAAACUUCAACAAAGGGUCAUGCUCUGUGGUUGGCUUCUUCAAGGGGGUCAUAUCCGUCAGGUCAACAUUAUCUUUGUAGAACUUCAACUCCUCUGUUGCACAAACAGACUCAGCAUAGGCAACAUCGCCCUCUUCACACUCCAAAGCUAUCUUCCUAUCCCCAUGCACCGUGAUAGUACCCUUACGACCCGGCAUUUUAAGUUGCAGAUAAACAUAACAAGGUCGUGCCAUAAAUUUGGCAUAAGCCGGCCGUCCAAACAAGGCGUGAUAAGGGCUCUUGAUCUUGACCACCUCAAAAGUCAAUGUUUCAGCCCUACAGUCAUGCUCACUGCCAAAAGCCACUUCCAAGGCUAUCUUACCCACCGGAUAUGCCGACUUACCAGGCACCACCCCAUGAAAAAUAGUAGAAGACGGCUUAAGAUCUUUGUCAGUCAAAUUCAUACGGCAAAAAGCAUCAUAAUAAAGAAUAUUGAUACUGCUGCCUCCGUCCAUAAGCACUUUUGUGAACUUGUAUUCUCCAACCUGAGGAGAAACCACCAAAGCCAGUUGACCCGGGUUGUCAACCCGGGACGGGUGAUCCUCAUGGCUCCAUACAAUGGGCUGCUCUGGCCAUUGCAAGUACCGAGGUACUGCCGGCUCAACCGCGCUCACCGCUCGUUUAUGAACCUUCUGGUCUCAUUUGCACAAACUCGUGGUAAAAACAUGAUACUGGCCACUAUUCAGCUACUUCGGAAUACUCUGAUAGUCGGACUGCUGCCCCUGAUUACCUUGACUGGGCUGCUGAUUAAAACCACCUUGAUUGCCAUGGCCUUGAAAACCAGAGUUUGAGCCGCCACCUCCAAAACUGGGCCCGUGAGAGCCGGAUCCUGACCCGCCAUUCGGGCCAUGAUGGUCCUGAUAAAAACCGGAAUUUCUAUACUCCCUCAUGAUGAAACAAUCUUUCCAUAGAUGAGUAGUCGGCUUGUCUUGAGAACCAUGCUUUGGGCAAGGCUGAUUCAUUAUCGCCUCAAGGUUGAACUUUGGCCCGCCAAACCGGGGCAUUGAUGAUUUCCCCUUACGACGCUGAUUAUUAUUUUGUGUAUUGGUAUUGGCCACAAAAUCUGAACCGCUGUUAGCUUGCUUGCGCUUACCAUUAUUGCCUUGGUUCUGACCCGCCGUAUUGUGUUGCUGUCCCUUUCCAUUACCGCUCUUCUUCCCCUUGCCAGACUUCUCCUCAUCAGACUCAGGGUCUUUAGUGUUAUCAGAGUCAGCAUACUUGAUGAGAGCCGCCAUGAGUUCUCCCAUGUCAUUGUAGUGGCGCUUAAGACGCCCCAGCUUCUGUUUGAGGGGAAGGAAACGACAAUUUUUCUCCAAAGUCAGGACAGCUGAACCGGCAUUGAUGCUUUCCAACGAGUGGAUAAUAGCCGAGAUCCGAUGUACCCAAUGGGCGGUUGACUCGUCCUCCCUCUGGAUACAAGUGUCUAAAUCAAGAAUCGACGUAGGCUGCUUGCAUGUGUCCUUGAAAUUCCGAAUAAAACGCAUCUUCAGUUCAGCCCAUGAUCUGAUGGAGGUAGGGGGCAAUCCCUUUAGCCAGGUGCGAGCCGGCCCAUCGAAUAUCAUGGUGAAAUACUUGGCGCACACAACGUCAUUGCCGUCUAACAUCUCCAUGGCUGGCUCAUAGCUCUCAAUCCAAGCCUCCGGGGGCUGAUCCGCCGUGUAAUUGGGCACCUUGCGGGGGCCCUUAAAAUCCUCGGGGAGACGAUCAUUACACAAAGCCGACACUAGACACGGCACACCCACGGUCCUAGAAGUCAUCCCAGCUUCUAUAGACACCGACGGGUUAUGAUGAGGUUGCUGAUGAGCCACUAACUGAGCUGCUAACUCGGCCUCCCGACGUGCCCUGGCCUGAUCCACCAAAGCUUGAGCAUCGUUAUCAGCAUGUGGCGGGUCACCCCCAUGGGGCUGGUUACGGUGUAGCUCACUGCUCAAAACUGCCGGCGACUCAAUGCGCGGGCUAUAACUCCGACUGGGCGUGGAGUCGAAUGAAUCCGCUCACGGUUGUAUAAUAAGCCGCCUGCUGAGCUACCGCCGCCUGAAGAAGCUCCACGUCUUUCCGGGCUUGAACCGCCGCGGGAGACUCACCUUGCACUGGAAGAGCCGCCAGCCGUGACGCCGCAACAAUCAUGUUAUCCAGAGGGUUAGAAAAAUGACCCGUCGGUGUUGAUACUUAUUGAGGCGGGGUUAAAUUCAAACGAGGUGGAUCCGCGACACAUGGUUGAACCGUCGCCCCUGCCGCAGGCGCUUCAAUAGCCUGGUUUACCUCAGGCGGGUUACUUGGUCCUGGCCCAGGGGUACUGAAAAGAUUCCUUGCAUCAUAGUCCAGAGGUAGACGAUUCUGGUGCCUCCUGCGAAGAACGACAUUUGAAGCAGCCUGAUCCAAGCUUAACCGGAAAGUUUCCACUUGAAUCCGUUGCGACUUUGCCUCCUCGCUCUGUCGCCAUCCUAGCGUUCUCAAUGUUAAGCUCCUCCUUGGCCUGAGCUAUCUCAUCUCGCAGUUUUGCAACAUCCACCUUAUGCUGCGCUUGAGUCGCCGGGGUUACCUCUGCAGCUAAUAAAGUUGCCAAGGCAUCCAAGAGAUUGGACAAAACCUGAGCCGGCGGGCGCGCAGAGCCGCUCGCUCCGGCCAUCGUCUCGGCCGUUGAACCGGAAGUCAUAGCUCCAGCAGUUGAUUAAUUGAGCACCGGUUGUGUACCGGCCAUGAAGAUCGCGACUCUGUUCGGCGGCUCAUAGGGGUCCGGAAUACUGUCGCCAUUAGAACAACCCCCAAGCCCGCCGUCUUGCAGUUGAUACAUUGAAUUGGUCUCUCCGGUUGAGGAAUCAUCAUCAGAGUAGAUGGUCGUCUCUCCACCGGACACAGAUCCUUCCUCAAGAUCCGCUCCAUGAAUAAAACCAACGAAAGCAUGCUUCACGGCAGUUUGAACCUUGGCGGGUCCCGCGCGCCGAGCCGUCUCGAUGAUGUCGGUGCAGGUGUCCGGCUCAGGCUCUGACUCGUCGAUCUUGCCGAUGAAGACGUGCAUUCCGCCGAAGGGGACCCGGUACCCGUAUUCGAUUGAAUCAGCCUCGGGGCCCCAGCCUGCAUCGUCGAUGUAGAUUUUACCACGGCGACUCUUGGUCAUCUAGCCCAUGGCGUAUCCCUUGAUCCCUGAGAAGCUGCCCUUCAAGAACUCAAAACCACCAUGCUCUAGCCCCACGGUGGGUGUAAACUGUCGUGGAUUUGUCAUGGCAGAUGCCCUAGCAAAAGGACUUAGGUGUGGAGCCAUUGCAGCUAGGUUAGCUUAAAGGGGUUGACCGGGACAGGAGACACAGAGAGUUUACCCAGGUUCAGCCCCUCUCAAUGAGGUAAAAGCCUACUCCUGCUUUAGUUGUAUUUCUUGGGUUUCGAUUACGAGGGAGCGAAUACGCAUGACCUAGUUCUCGAUCGGUUGUUUUUUGAGUUAACCCGCCUGAUGUCUACUACGCAACCUUCUUCUUGUAGACGUUGUUGGGCCUCCAAGUGCAGAGGUUUGUAGGACAAUAGCAAAUUUCCCUCAAGUGGAUGACCUAAGGUUUAUCAAUCCGUGGGAGGCGUAGGUUGAAGAUGGUCUCUCUCAAACAACCCUGCAACCAAAUAACGAAGAGUCUCUUGUGUCCCCAACACACCCAAUACAAUGGUAAAUUGUAUAGGUGCACUAGUUCGGCGAAGAGAUGGUGAUACAAGUGCAAUAUGGAUGAUAGAUAUGGGUAUUUGUAAUCUGAAAAUACAAAAACAGCAAGGUAACAAGUAAUAAAAGUGAGCACAAACGGUAUUGCAAUGCGUUGAAACAAGGCCUAGGGUUCAUACUUUCACUAGUGCAAGUUCUCUCAACAAUAAUAACAUAAUUGGAUCAUAUAACUAUCCCUCAACAUGCAACAAAGAGUCACUCCAAAGUCACUAAUAGCGGAGAACAAACGAAGAGAUUAUUGUAGGGUACGAAACCACCUCAAAGUUAUUCUUUCUGAUCGAUCUAUUCAAGAGUCCGUAGUAAAACAACACGAAGCUAUUCCUUCCGUUCGAUCUAUCAUAGAGUUCGUACUAGAAUAACACCUUAAGAUACAAAUCAACCAAAACCCUAAUGUCACCUAGAUACUCCAAUGUCACCACAAGUAUCCGUGGGUAUGAUUAUGCGAUAUGCAUCACACAAUCUCAUAUUCAUCUAUUCAACCAACACAAAGUACUUCAAAGAGUGCCCCAAAGUUUCUACCAGAGAGUCAAGACGAAAACGUGUGCCAACCCCUAUGCAUAAGUUCAUGAGGUUACAGAACUCGCAAGUUGAUCACCAAAACAUACAUCAAGUGAAUCACGUGAUAUCCCAUUGUCACCACAGAUAAGCACAUGCAAGACAUACAUCAAGUGUUCUCAAAUCCUUAAAGACUCAAUCCGAUAAGAUAACUUCAAAGGGAAAACUCAAUCCAUUACAAUAGAGUAGAGGGGGAGAAACAUCAUAAGAUCCAACUAGAGUAGCAAAGCUCGCGAUACAUCAAGAUCGUACCACCUCAAGAACACGAGAGAGAGAGAGAGAGAUCAAACACAUAGCUACUGGUACAUACCCUCAGGCCCGAGGGUGAACUACUCCCUCCUCGUCAUGGAGAGCGCCGGGAUGAUGAAGAUGGCCACCGGUGAGGGUUCCCCCCUCCGGCAGGGUGCCGGAAUAGGGUCCCGAUUGGUUUUUGGUGGCUACAGAGGCUUGCGGCGGCGGAACUCCAGAUCUAUUCUGCUCCCCGAUGUUUUUAGGGUAUAUGGACAUAUAUAGGUGAAAGAAGUCGGUUAGGGGAGCCACGAGGGGCCCACGAGGGUGGGGGCGCGCUCAGGGGGGUAGGGCGCGCCUCCAUGCCUCGCCACCUCCGGGCCACCCCUUUAUAUACAGGUUGAUGCCCGGCGGCUUACAGAGUCCCGGCCGGCUCACGCAAAUGUGACCGGCUUGGUUUCUAACUAAGCUUGCCUUAUAGAGCAAGUCAUCAGCUAGCGGUUCACUCCUCCGGGCCUUGAGUCGCCUCCAAGUCUUGGGCCUUCAAUAGGCUUGCUCUAUAAACCGCCAUCUUCAUAUCUUCUUGGACCUUAUCAGGCCUCUUCAUCUUUAAGUCGCCAAUGGUAUGACCCGGCCCCUCCUGGGCGGGUCAUACCUAGUAGCUAUAUCCCCAACAUGGGGCUAAGGGUAAGUGGGAGGCCUCAAGCAUCUCUAACAACAACAUCGAGGACCUAAAGCGAGCGGGCUACCUCUCCCCCAACAUUGCUCAUCUGGCCCCUGAGGAGGGCCAGGUCGUGCCGACGCCCCGCACCGAUGAGAGGGUGGUGUUCAUUCCCCAUUUUAUCCGGGGACUAGGCUUCCCACUCCACCCGUUCGUUCGAGGGUUAAUGUUCUACUAUGGGCUCGACUUCCACAACCUGGCUUCGAAUUCCUUCCUCCACAUCUCGGCCUUCAUCACCGUCUGCGAAGCUUUUCUUAGGGUCCCGCCACACUUCGGCCUAUGGCUGAAGGUCUUCAACAUAAAGCCGAAGAUCAUCGAUGGCCAGCACGCGGAUUGCGGGGGCUCUAUCGUGAGCAGGCUCACCCGAAUCGGAUGGCCGGAGGGUGUGUUCAUCGACAUGGUCAAGAUCUGGCAGAAAGAAUGGUUCUACAUCGCAGAACCCUGUGACGCGGCCUGGGCGGCCGCUCCAGAAUUCAGAUGCGGACCCCCUGCGAGGUUAACCUCUUGGACCAAGAAAGGACUUGACUGGGGGUCUACGACCGAGGUGGAGGCGCUGCAAAAACGCAUCUCCAAUAUGAUAAAGGCGGAGGCCACGCUGACCAGUGUGGUCCAGAUCAUGCUCCACCACCGUCUCCUACCUUGCCAACUUCGGGCCGCCCCGGUGUGGUCCUGGAAGCCCGAAAACCCCCGCAUCGUGCAACACUACUAUGGCACCACCCACGAGAGGUUGUGGAAGGUGAUGUUCAAGCCGCAGAAGAUGUGGUCGGCCGAGGGGGAGGACAUCAGCCUCGAUGACGAGCAUCCCCCAAAGGAGGUAAUGUAGUAUUAUUCACUUUAUGUUCGGAUAUUUGCAUUCCCGCUAUGGUCCUCAACUCCUUUUUCUCGUUUCCAUAAAGCUGGCUUAAGAGGGUCGUGCGGAUUAACAAUCCGGCCCCACUGCCCGAAGACCCCAGGUCGGCUCAGCCGGAAGAGAUGCUGACCGUGGUGCCUUACUAGGCGCUAGAGAAAAAGGAGAAGAAGAAGAACCCCAUCCACUCAUUAGUCCCUCCGAACACCAAGUUUGGGGACACCCACGCCCCCUCUGCACAUGAGGGGGGGCAGGAUGAAGAGGAGGAGGAGAGCGACUCCUCCCGCACCAGGAAGAGAGCAGUGGCGGCCGAAGCCGAAGGAGAGCACACUUCCCCGGCUCCGAAGAAGAGGAGUAGGGGUAAAUUGGUGAUGCUCGAUGAUAGUACGGACUCCGAUGAGGAGUCUGCAGCCUCCGAGAAGGUCCCGGAGAGGGCUCCCAGGGUCAAGCACCGCGCUGAAAGGUGAGAAUCUGAAGACUGUCUGAGGCCGGUUUUACUAGACCAUUACUAAAAGCAUGUACGCUCUCAUGUUCUAGCCUACCGUGCGACCUCCCUACUAACCAGAUGUUGGAGGGCACUUCUCCACCAACUGAUCUGGCAGAAAGCGGAGGGGCAUCACACUCUGCGCCUCCUCCGGUCAUCGGGGAGACCGGGGAGGUGCUGUCCCAAAGGAACCCACCCGUGCCAAGCACGGGGGGCGAUGGAGACAUCGACAUGGCCGAGACUAACGCUUCGGCCAUCGAAGACCAGAGAAGGAGCUCGGGCAAGCCGAGCCCUCUCAGAAGAUGGUUCCGGGGCCUCACGGCCUUUCGAAGCGUCACAACCACCCCCCACCUGAGGGGGAGCCCGGGUCCCGCCGCCGGUGCCGAACAUCGGGAACCGGGUCAUGGCAGAGUGGCCGAACAUGAUGGAAGAGGCUGUGAACAGCUCCUCCACAGUCGCAGAACACCACGCCCUGAUGGGCGUGGUUUCACAAAGCAUUCGAUCCGUUAACAGCGCACUGAAAGAAGCUUUUGAUUGGCCUCCUAAUAGGCUUUGAGGUAAGCAAUGUAAUGUUCUCUCUUUAUAAGAGUGUACUUCUGUGGACAAGAUUUGAGCGAUCCUUAUAUAUAGCAGCCCCCGAGACUCUGGCAGGUUUUGAAAAAAAUAUGUCUGAGGAUCGAAGACCAUCAAAAAAAUAGUCUAAAUGAGGUGCUUGCUAUAUUUUUGCAGGCCUCAGCGCUGGCGGCUGCCGCCAAUGCCGCGGAGCUGGCUGAGAUGAAUCGGAAGCUCAAGAGCUCCAAUGAGGAGCUCGACUUCAUCAACAAGCGGUUUGACGAAGCACAAGGUUAGUUCGUUUGAAACUUCGUUCUUUGAUUUUCUUUGUCGAGCAAAGUAUUCGGGAUUAUCCCUGAGCAAGAGGUGAUUUGCAGUUGCCGCCGCAGAGGUCGAGGGCCUCAAGGCCAAGCUGCUGAAGGCCAAGAAGGAAGCAGCCGAACAGAAGGCGGCGACCAAACAGGCGGCCGCCGAACUCACGUUGGUAAAAAUCGAGCGCCAGAAGCAUGAGGCCGGAGUGGCCGAAGUACAACAAGAGCUCAAGGAUGCCAUCACUAAAUGUGAGGACCUUGAGCAGAAAAAUAAGGUUCACGCCACCGAGCUAGCGAACAUAAAGACAAAGAUCCAGGAGGCGCGGCCAGAGACACGGUGCACCCGGGAGGAGCUCCGACAAGUAAAGCAAAUUGCAAAUGGUAAGCAGUACUUACUGCAGAGUGUCUUUGGUGGCCACAGAUUCGCGUUGCUCACCCGGGUCUGGCGUUCCGCAGGCGCGUUUGUGGAUCUCCCGAAGAGUGUGGUUGAUGCAUCAAGGCACUAUGCGGCCCGGGAGGGUGACUCCGAACUGAGGCUGUUCUAGGUGUAGUUCCAGGUACCCGAGCACCCUCUCCUCCUCGUUAAUCAAAUAAAGCAAUUGAUGGAGCUGCACCGGAUGGUGGAGCCGGCCAUGAAGGACCUCUGUAUCCGGCUGUGGCCCUCCGAGCCCAUACCGAGCAGCUAUUUGGUUUAGUGGCGAAGCUGUGUGAUGCUUCUGCCCGGAUUGAGACCGUUAAGUGCUCGCUAUGCAUCGAAGGGGCUCGGAUGGCGUUCUCGAAGACCAUGGUGCAUUGGCCAAAGAUCAAACCCGCCGAGAUGGCCACUGGACCUCCUCUAGCUGGAAAGGAGCAUAGGCGCCCAGAGCAGUACUUCUCCACCGUGAUGGACGGUGCUCGGGCAGUAGAGGCACGGUGUUCAAAGGAUGUACUCCUUGAGUAAUUGCGCUGUUAUGUAUUAAACUGUGACGAAACCUGAUGCUUUAUAAUGCAAUGGUGUUUUGUAUGGGUUAUCAUACUUGUCUGUGUUUACGUUAAUUUUGACUCCUGUGCGGCCGUUUCAUUCUGAAAGUUACCAGUCGUCGGCUUCACCCCCCACAUAGAUGCUACGAGGGGUGUUCCGUUCUCCGCACUAUAAACCUUAGUCGACGUCUUGGUGCCCUAAGGCGGUAAUGUAGGAGGGAAACAAGGCAAUCGGACUAUGCGGCUUUAUUACUUUGACUUAGCCAUAGGAGCUUGACUAUGGGGGCUGGUAACUAGCCCCCAGUGUGGUGAGAUGUUCAGUGCACCCAUGGGCUAGGCAUCUAUCACUUGAUCUGUUUGAAAACAAAUCCUUCGUAUUACACGGUACAGUCACUAACGAGUUUUAGUUUGAAGACUUGUCAAUGGAUUGCCGACCAGUUCUCGCGUAUUAUGACAGUUAUUUUUUGGCUUUCUCCAAUGAGGUACUUGACCGGACUAGGCAGAAGUACAAUCGUAGUGGUUCUCGCUUUACCUACUUAGCUGAACAUGUGAAAUGUAAGAAGUUAAGCACAGGAGCAGUGCAACCCAACUAUUGACCCAAGACAUAAUUCGGAACUGAUGCAUAUAAUGCAAUAUCCGAGACGCCGAACAUAGGGGGAAAAGGGUGCUGGACUUGAUACAUAGGGGAAGUGUCAAGGUCAAGUCCCUGGUCUAUAUAUGAAAUCAUAUGUGCACCAUACGUAAUUAAGAUAGAGUCCAAGAGCGGGAAAAAGGAGCAUGCAGUAUAGAUAACUGUAAAAGAACCGCAAAAGGUUUUUGCUUUAUUUCCAAUGAGCUCAUGACGUCUAGCCGUACAAUUCGAACAGUAGAAACGAAACUUCUGGUGUAGAUGGUUUGAACAAUAAAAAAAGGAAAAAAAAUAUAGAUGAGAAUGUUUACGCAGGGCCUUGACAUAUGGAUUGAUACCCUUACUUUGGCCUACUGCGCGUCUAAGCCUUUGCUUCUGUUUGGCGGAGGGACUCCAUGGAAGGGAUGGUUAUCCGACGACACACCCUUGAUAGGGAGCUUCGAGAGGUCGCUGUGUUGUAUGGGCUUGAUGUCGGAUAGGUCCUGGAUGGUACCUGUUCAUCGUUCGAAGACGCGUUAGUCCAUGGUGCGGUUGAACGGAACUCUUGGUGUUUAAGCCCCAUAGCUGCCCAUGGUAUUUUGAGCACAAAGUUGUGUCGGUGAGGCACGUAGCAUGCCGCCGGGGUGGGCGUGCUGUGGGGGGCGUAUCCCUAUGUACGUCGAACGGAGGGAGGAUCCUUGGGUGGAGAUAAGGCUCGAGCUCGUUUGCUUGCCUCGCGCGCCUUGAUGGCGUGCUGGCACUUCGGCCAUUUGGCAUCAGAUUGGUCUUCGGCCGCCAGGGCCAUGGUGUGUUCCUCUGUCCGGAGAGAGCACUCCGUAUUUCCAUUGACUGUGAUGAUGCCUCUAGGUCCGGACAUUUUUAAUUUGAGGUAGCCAUAGUGUGGAACGGCGUUGAACCGAGCAAAUGCCGUUCGGCCUAGGAGGGCGUGAUAGCCACUGCAAAAGGGGACGAUGUCGAAGAUCAAGUCUUCACUCCGAAAGUUGUCCGGAGAGUUGAACACGACCUCUAAGGUAAGGGUGCCCGAACAGCGAGCUUCAAUGCCAGGGAUUACCCCCUUGAAGGUGGUAUUACUGGGUUUGAUCCUUGAUGGGUCAACACCCAUUUUCCUUAUGGUAUCUGCAUAGAUCAGAUUGAGGCUGCUGCCUCCGUCCAUAAGGUCUCUGGUAAGGUGAUACCCAUCAAUAAUGGGGUCUAGGACCAAGGCCGCCGAUCCUCUGUGAUGGAUACUGGUCGGGUGGUCCCUGCGGUCAAAGGUGAUCGGACAAGCCGACCAUGGAUUAAAUUUCGGGGCUACCGACUCGUCGGCGUAGACGUCCCGAAGUGCACGCUUCCUCUCUUUCUUGGGUAUGUGAGUUGCGUAGAUCAUGAUCAUUGUUUUGACCUCAGGAGGGAACUAUUUCUGGCCUCCAUUGUUCGGCCUGCGAGGCUCCCCGCCGUCCACGCUGCAUGGGCUUUUGCCCGUAUCUUCGGCUUUGAUCCUGCCGGCCUGUUUAAUGACCCAACAGUUAUGGUUGGUGUGGUUGGCAGGCUUGUCGGGGGUGCCAUGGAUCUGGCAUGGCCUGUCUAGGAUGGUGUCCAACUUGUCAGGCUUUUUCCGCGGACCCGAUUUGGAGUUGUGGAAUCCGGUGUUUACUUUCAUGUCAUCAGCAUCGGUAACAUUGUGCUGACACUUGUUUUUAUUGCGCCCUGGCUUCCCAUUAUCGUCCUGGGCUCGGGGGUCUCCUGGGUUGGUGCUUCUACGAGCCAACCAACUAUCUUCACCCGCACAAAAGUGGGUCAUGAGUGCGGUAAGAGAUGCCAUUGUCCUCAGCUUGUCUUGGCCGAGCUGGCAUGCGAGCCAUUUCGUCCCGGAUACUAUGUUUGAAUGCGGCUAUGGCUUCGACAUUCGGAAAGUCGACUAUUUGGUUCUUUUUGGUCAAGAACCUAUUCUAAAAUUGUCGGGCUGACUCGCCGGGCUGUUGGACCACAUGGCUCAGAUCAUCGGCAUCCGGAGGCCGGACAUAGGUGCCUUGAAAGUUAGCUCAGAAAGCGUCCUCGAGCUCUUCCCAGCUCCCUAUGGAGUCUUCGGGGAGGCUGUUCAACCAAUGCCGGGUUGGUCCUUUGAGCUUUAAUGGCAAGUAUUUUAUGGCGUGGAGAUCAUCUCCUCAUGCCAUAUGAAUGUGUAGAAGAAAAUCUUCAAUCCACACAGCCGGGUCUAUAGUCCAGUCAUACGGUUCAAUAUUUACGGGCUUAAACCCCUCUAGGAAUGUGUUGCAUCACUUCAUUAGUGAAGCACAUUGGGUGAGCAGCGCCCCUUACGCGGGCUACGUCGCGCUAGAACUCGGCUUCCAUCCUUGCCCGGUGUUGCUCCUGAACUCUGUCGUUUCGGUCGAGCCAUGCCUGGCAUCCGUCCCGUCUAUUGGGAGGGUAGCCUCUUGAUCCGUAGAUAGACCUUUGACUGACCUGCUCUAGUGGCCAGGUCAUGUUGUAGGUCGUAUUUAUAUUCUGGUUGCGCCGCCUCCUUGCCUCUUUGGCGAGGGGGGACGGGUGGGAGUUCGCCUUCCCUAGCAGGCCUAUCCCGUCCUCGAGGGGGGCAGGCUAGCUGGUUGCCUUGAGUCCGUCUUGGUGGUGCAGGCUCGAUGGCCUCGCCGUCAAACUAUGGGAGCAGCUUCCGCUUUGGGUAACUUUUGUUUUGUUGCUCGUAGCCGUACCCUUCUUCGGCUGCCAGGACCUUUGUCCAUCUAUCGUUGAGGGUGUCCUGUUAGGCCUUGAGCUGCUGCUUCUUCUUCUUGAGGCUACGUGCGGUGGCAAUAAGUUGUCGUAUGAACUGCUCCUGAUUGAGCGGGUCUUCCGGGACUAUGAAGUUCUUGGCUCCAAGGCUAACCUCUGCUACUUCUUGAGCUUGCGUUGAUUUUUCCCUUGAAGAGGAAAGGGUGAUACUGCAAAGUAGAGAUAAGUAUUUCCCUCAGUUAAGAACCAAGGUAUCAAUCCAGUAGGAGGCACAUGCAAGUCUCCAAUAUAUGCGCCUGCACAAACUAACAAACACUUGCACACAACGCGAAAAAGGGGUUGUCAAUCCCUUCCCGGUCACGAACAAGAGUGAGAUCUGAUAGAGAUAUGUAUAAAAGAUAAAUAAAAGAGCAAACUAAAGUAAAUAUAAAUAAAUUGCAGCAAGGUAUUUUUGGGUUUUUGGUUUAUAGAUUUGAAAAUAUAUGAUGGAAAAUAGACCCUGGGGCCAUAGGUUCACUAGAGGCUUCUCUCUUGAAUAAAGCAUACAGUGGGUAAACAAAUUACUGAGAAAAGCGCAUAAUUAUGACGAUAUCUAAGCAAUGAUCAUGAAUAUAGGCAUCACGUCCGUGACAAGUAGACCAACUCCUUCCUGCAUCUACUACUAUUACUCCACACAUCGACCGCUAUCCAGCAUGCAUCUAGAGUAUUAAGUUCAUAAGAACGGAGUAACACCUUAAGCAAGAUGACAUGAUGUAGAGGGAUAAACUCAAGCAAUAUGAUAUAAACCCCAUUUUUUAUCCUUGAUGGAAACAAUACAAUAUGUGCCUCACUACCCCUACUAUGUCACUGGGUGAGGACACCGCAAUAUUGAACCCAAAACUAAGCACCUCUCCCAUUGCAAGAAAAGCCAAUCUAGUUAGCCAAACCAAACCGAUAGUUAGAAGAGGAAUACAAAGAUAUCUUAAUCAUGCAUAAAAAAGUUCGGAGAAGACUUAAAUAAUAUUCAUAGUAAUCCACAAUUCAUUAGAUCUCAACAAACACACUGCAAAAGAAGAUUACAUCGGAUAGAACUCCAAGAACAUCGAGGAGAACAUUGUAUUGAAGAUCAAAGAGAGAGAAGAAGCCAUCUAGCUACUAGCUAUGGACUCGUAGGUCUGUGGUAAACUACUCAAGCUUCAUCAUAAGGGCAGCAAGGUUGAUGUAGAGGCCCUCCGUGAUGGAAUCCCCCUCCGGCAGAGUGUCGGAAAAGGCCCCAAGUUAGUUUCAUUCAAAUCAUGCAAAUUAGAGUCCAAAACAAGAGCAAAAGCGUUAGGAAAAGUAGAUACGAUGGAGACGUAUCAACUCCCCCAAGCUUAACCCAUUGCUUGUCCUCAAGAAAUUCAGUUGACAAACUAAAAGUGACAAAGAAAAACUUUUACGAACUCUUUUGUUCUUGCGUUCAUAUAUAUGCUUAAAUAAUGUCCAGGGUUUCAGCAAAGAUCAUAACUAACCAUGCAGACGAUAACUAUUAAAAAUUAUAUUCACUCAUAUCAAUGGCAUAAUCAACUAGCGAGUAAUAAUAAAAUAUUUCAAAUGCCAACACUUUGUCAAAACAAUCAUGAUAUAAUAUGGCAAUAAUGGUAUCUCGCUAGCCCUUUCUGAGACCGCAAAACAUAAAUGCAGAGCACCUCCAAAGUUCAAGCAGCGAUUAAACAUUGUAAUUCAUGGUAGAAGAGAUCCAGUCAUGGUGCACACAACAUUAACUAUACACAAUGCAUGAGGAUGACAAUUGUGCUCUCAGGACUGGUGCUUGUUUGAGAAGGUGAUGACUCAAUAAUAAAAAUAAAAUAACAUAAAAAGUAAAUGGAUAGGCCCUUUGCAGAGGGAAGAAGGGAUUUGCAGAGGUGCCAGAGCUCGAAGCUUAAAUCAGAGAUAAAUAUAUUUUGAGAGGUGCACCUUUCCUAUCAAUGUUACGACCAUGAGUUUUCAAUAUCUACCAUGUUAAACAAAUUAGUGGCGGUUCCCAAGCGGUAAAAGUAAAGUUUACUCCCCCUCCACCAACAAACACAAGCCAUGGCUAGCCGAAUCCUCGGGUGCCCUCCAUACCAACAACAUUUCGGGGGAGUUUUGUUUAAUUAUUUGUAAUUUUUGAUCAUGGGACCGGGCAUCCCGAUUACCAACCCCUCUCGUGCAAGGAUGAGUGAAUAAACACUCAUCAUGAGAAUAACCCACUUAGCAUGGAAGAUGCUGACCAGCCCAUGUCGCUCCAUGAGCGGUACGGACACACAAAACAGAUGUUCAUUUGAAUAUUUAGAGGUGGCACAUGCAAAUUUACUUGGAACGGCAGCCUGCAUAUAGGUAGAUAUAGUGGACUCAUCUGGAAUAACUUUGGUUUAAGGAUUUUGAUGUACAAGAAGUAUUCCCGCUUAGUACAGGCGAAGGCUAGCAAUUGGGUAGAGAAGUGACCAACUAGAGAGCGAAAAUGGUCAUGAUCAUGCAUUAUGAACAAUUAACAUUGAGUACUAGCACGAGUAGGAUAUAAACACCAUGAACAUAAAUAUCGUGGAGGCUAUGUUGGUUUUGAUUCAACUACAUGUGUGAACAUGUGCCAAGUCAAGCCACUUGAAACAUUCAGAGGAGGAUACCGUAUCAUCAUAAUACAUCACAGCUAUUCUAAUGCAUGUUGAUACCCAAGAUAAAUCAUUAUCAACUCCUAGCUACUUAAGCAUGGCAUGAGCAACUAUAAUCUCUAAUUGUCAUCACAAACAUGUUUAAUCAGACUAUGCUGAAUCAUGGAUACUGAGUUAAACAUAUUUACAAAAGAAAAAACAAGUUGAGUUCAUACCCGCAUUUCCUUGCCUCAGUCACUUCAUCAUAUAUCGUCAUUAUUGCCUUUCACUUGCACGACCGAAUGAUAUGAAAAUAAUAAUAGUGCAAGAGUGCCUCAGACUAAGCUAGAAUCUGCAAACAUUUUAUUUACAGGAGAAGACAAAAUAAUAUGGGCUCAUCAUUAGAUCAAUAGUAGUGCAUGUGAGAGCCACUCAACAUUUUCAUCGCGGUCUUCCCCUUGGUACGACUUAACAAAAAGAAAAAAAAA
This 70477-nucleotide long non-coding RNA is filed under the name Triticum aestivum (bread wheat). RNAcentral describes it as "long non-coding RNA (TAES_LNC024277)". Lineage: Eukaryota; Viridiplantae; Streptophyta; Magnoliopsida; Poales; Poaceae. The record is from RNAcentral.